GGAUGAUGAGUAGUCAGCUUGUGCUUGGAUGGCAGGAGAAACCAAUGCAGGACCCUGACUUGGAUUGGCUGAACCCAAAAAAAAAAAAAAUUUAAUUAAUUAAAAAUAAUAAUAAUACACAUAUAUACAUACAUAUUUUCAUGAUUUCUAAAGUUCAAACUUCUCUUUUCCGUUCUUGGAAUUUGUUAAUAACUAAAGCAUCACUUAUAAACUGUUCUGUAAGGAAGACCUAGAAUAUUUGCACUCAAACAGUAGAUGGAAAGUACUUCAUCCAGGAUUUAGGAUAUGGGCUCCGAUUAAACCAAAUAUUCAAAUGGUACAUCAGAUGCUUCAGUACUUUGGACCGUCUUUCUCUAUUUAAAAAAUUAAUUCUUCAUUAACCUUAAUUAAAGUAGUCAUCUUUUUCCUCACAUAAAUCAUGAAAAUUCUGUUUAAAGUACAAGAUUUUUCCUCACUUAGUAGACAUAAUAUACAUUGACCAGCCAACAGCCCUUAGCAACUUUAACUUACAAUAUGCAGGCCACUUUGUUAUGAGCUCCAAGCUAGAUUCAUAUUCAGUUAAGAUGUGCUUCUUCAAUUAUAUGACGAAACAAGCUGUGCUCCUAGAAUUACAUGAAGAAACAAAUUAAAAUACAAUGCUUCAAUAUUUUGCCUUUAUAAGACUAAUGUCUUCACAUACUCAGGAAAAGGUACGUGACCGCAUUAAAAUUACUGAAAACAAAUUGUAGCAAAAAACAUUCAUCAUGAAAAGUUUAGGGAACUUCAACACGAGUACAAAAAUGAGAAGCCAAAAAAAAAAAAUUAAAUAAUGCUGUACCUAUGUGAGUAGGUUUUUUAAGUCUAAAGCACGUAGAAACCGUAAGUCCUAAAUAAAUUCAUUGAAAUUGAAAGGCUUACUAUUAUAUAAUUAUCAUAAAUAAAUAAGCCAGAUGGUAUUUCAGAAAAUAUACCAUUACUAGUUCAAUUGUGCACAUUUAAAAAUUGGGUCCAUAAUCACUCACAAAUAUGAGAAUUGAUGACUUUAACAAUUGACCAUCAGGGAACGUAAUCCUAUGUGCUCUCUGUAAAGUAACUAUUUAUCAAAAAUACAUUGAAAAUCCAAAUUAUUCCAGCGAUAAUUAGUAUACUUAAAAAAUGUGCAGCUAAAACCUACUAAGUCAAAAGUAAGGUAGCUCAGUAUGGGGUCAAUGUAGAGCGAAAAACAAAAUUCAUCAAAGAGUGAAUAUGGUGAUAAUAGGACACUACUUUCUUUUACUCAAGGAGUGAAGCAUACGUGAACGAUUUUAUGCAGGUGGCAUAUUUCUUUGUCUUCCAUGAAGGUUAAUUUAUAAUGCAUGUACAUACUUCAAAUAGAAGGAUAAAUUAGAAAAGAAUAAUUUCUAGAGUUGAGAUAAAGCACUUUAGAUGUAAUUGAGGGAAAGAUGAAAAAGGAAUCAUAUAUAGCACAUACGUUCUUUUAGCCUCAUGUAAGCAACUUUUGCUGCACUCAUCUCCGCUUGCUUCUUGGACUUUGCUUCUUGUCCAGAAAAAACUUGUCCUCCUACCUCAACAGUUGACACAAAAGUUGGUGCAUGAGAUUCACCAGAUUGCUUAGUAUUAUAAACUGGCAAAGCAUACGCUUCUUUCUGAGCCAAUUCUUGCAAAAGGUUCUUGUAAAGAACAGAAUCAUCCUGGAAAAAUAUGUUUAUUAACAAAAUAUGCGAAUAUGAAAGAAGAUAGAUCACUACUAAUACGAAAUUCAUAAGUUAUUCAUUAACAGUUAAUUAGAAGACUGGCCUGUUGAAAUUUAUCAAGUGACAAUGACAUUAAUGCAACUUUCGCCGCUUCAUGCUCGGCAUCUUUUAAAGUAGGAAAAAACUGAUGACUCUCAUAAGUUUGUCCAUCAAUUGUGACCUUACACUUGAAACGACUAGCAUGAGGAGGACCUUCCCUCUCACAUGAAUACAUAGGAAGAGGGAGAUUUUUCUUUUGAGUAUAGCUCUGCAGCUGGUUUUUGUAUAGGUGUUGCAUAUCUAUAAUUCAGAAAGAAAUUAUGAGUCACAUGACUUCUCAUCAUAAACAAUAGAAAUUCUUUCAUUUCCUUAUUUAUUGCCUAGAUAAAAACCAGAAGUCAAAUGUUCAGAAUGCAAGGAAAUAGGAUGUCAAUUCAAUGAAACAUCAGUAAACAUAGCAGUGAUGGCUGAAUCGCCUUGAGGAUAGAAAUACCCCGACCUUACCCUCCCCCGCUCCUUAAAAGAGUACCCUUCAUCCAUACCCCACUCUCACAUCAGGACUGCCAUCUUUAAUAGUUCUUACCACAGUAGGACUGGAACGCACACCCAUGAUCUGUGUCCCGCCAGUACAAUAUUUUAACUAAGUAGCAGCAGAACGCCAAAAAGCAUCAAUGUAAUUGAAUGGAUAAAAUAAGUACCAUCUAAGCUAAAUUCAUACCUUCAAACAAGAAACCAUCGAUGCGAUCAUCAAGCUAAAUGCCCAAGCAAUGUACUAAAGCAAUCAAAUCUAAGAAAUUGAACGUACAAAAUAAGUUCCAAUUAAGCUAAAUUCAUACCUUCAAGUCAGAUACCUCUUACUUGAAAUAAAUCAAGGUUACAGGAGAUGAGAGCACAAUCAGCUUAAUUGGUAGAGUUUAAAAAAUAUUAGGUCCUCUCUGGGGCAUACACAAUGAUGAAGAUGAAAAAGAUGAAGACUCAAAAAGUGAGAGAGAGAAAGGAGAAAGCUGAGAUUAGCUGCUUAGAGAAGGAGGCAGCAGAGAGGAAACCAAAUGGGAACAAAACCCUAACCUUGGGAAAGGAAAUAAUAUAAACAUAUACUAAGGUAUUUAUACGAGAAAAAAUACCUGGGAAAGGGCUGAAAAGAAAGAAGUUGUAUCUAUACCCCAACUGCACCCUAUUAGUUAUUUGAUUGACACAUUGCUUGACCCAAUUGGCUAGGUGUUUCCUCGUACGGGCACUGAAUAUGAAGCAGUGUGAACACUGAAAUUUCAAGUUUCCUUAUAUAUACUUUUUGAUUUCACUAUUUUACUUCUUUUCACUCACCUGAGGCUCAAUGUAAGAUCGUCAAAUAGACGGAAUACCUGAGGCUCAAUGUAAGAUCUUCAAAUAGAUGGAAUUGGAUUGAAAGAUUGAGUUCUCUCACUUGAUAUCAAAUUCAGAGUUAACUUAGAGAUCUAUUUCAUUAUAUGUUAUUAGUGCGUCUCAAAAAUGACAUGUAAUGGUCCACUCAAAUGUUUUAUUUAAAUAUCCGUCCAUAUAUUAUCCAAUAUUCCCUUUCAACAUUACCGUACCUAGCAUUAAUAAAUUUUAGGCACAUCACAGCAUAUCCAAAUUUACGUAUGUCCAGCAAUUUUCUAAUUGAAAAUGAUUUUGUACAUAAAAAUACAGAUAUGUGGACAAGAACAACAAUCAAGAUCAUCAAAUUUAGUAUGGAAGAAAAGAAUACAAAUGAAAAUAUGUGACAAUCCAACUUCAAUUGAAGUUGUUAAUUAGAACUUCACCAAGGCCAACAGAAGUAUGAGAAACAUGAAUCAUAAUUAUAAAAAAUAAUAAUAACAUAAAUCACUUAGAAGUUCUCUGAUGCGGUAAAUUGAAAUAGAGCUACAUUCAAGAAAUCAUGACUAUAGGCUUUGUCUUUAAUAGCCUCUUUAAUCCUCAAUCUUUUGACAUCACCAUAGCAGAAAAGUAAGUACACAAAAUUCAACAAUAUAUGCAUGAUCAAUCAAUAAAACCAAUAAACCAAAUAUCUAAAUCAAGAAAUUACAGAAAGGAAAAGAAAUUAUUACUAAAAUAAUUAUCUGACCUCUUGAUUUGUGAACAUCAUUGACAGUUGAGAUCGUUGCAUUGACCUGAGUAGUUCGAUCUGUUUCUCGAGCAUUUACUUGCACUGCACUUUCACUCGAAGAACCUACAAAAAUUAUUUAUAACCCAGUGUAAAGAAGAAGUAAAGUUUUCCGCACGAACAUGGUAAAGUAAAGUUUUCUGUAGGAAAAUGGUAACUUCAAAAUCCGUUUCAAACCUAUCAUACAUCCCCCACCCUCAUUUAAGACUAGUGCUUGCAAAAACUAGAAGUAAUUUAUCCAGAACAUAAAAGCAGAGAAAAUCCAGUCCAGUAUAAAUAUAAAAUUAGAUAAUACCUACCAUUUACCAUUUCAUUCAAGAACACCACACAGUUAACGAAACCAACAUAGGUAUGUUUCCAACUGUUGUACUUUCAAGUUAAUUUUGAAAGCGCGGAAGCUAAAGCCUAAACUGUUGUUUGAUAAAAGCCCAUCCACUGACUGAUACUUGGCGGGUAGCAAUUCCAUUCAAUAGCAGUCAUAGAAUAAAAGUACAAAACAAACCCCUGUUUAAAAAAUGCAAUGAAGCAGCCAUGAUUUCAAUUAUUUGCAUGUCUGGGAUUGCAGUUGAUUCCAAAUUGAGAAUAUACUUCGAGAAUAUGUUUGAUAAGCCCUUAUGUGAUGAUCGCUGGUUUAUUGAGUCUUAAAAGAACAACUCAAUCAACUAAUGUUUGAUUUGAAAAAAAAAAAUGGCAAAUCAAAAAAGUUUUGGAGUAGAUUCUCAAAAGAGUGAUUAUUUGAUAAUCCACCAUAAUCCCACAUAGUUAUCAGAAUGAAAUUAAAAUCCGAGGAAUGUUAUUUAAGGCAAACAGCACUUUUUUUAUUUUAACCAACACUUGCAAAUUGCAAUUCUUAAACUAAAAGCAUGCAAAAUAAAUGCAAAUUAAGAACGCACCUAACAGAAAAUAAUAAUAAUAAUAAUCUGAAUUGGCAAUAUUAAAAUUACCGUUAGAAGAGGAAGCGGCAGGAGUAGAGGAUGGUGGAGGAGGAGACGAGAAAUGUUGGAAAGCGAUUCUAGCGGCGUCGUUUUGGGCCUCUUUGGACGACUUGUAAAGAUCCGGAGUGGUGAAAGAUUGGUCGUUAACGGUAACGGUUGCUUGAAAGCGAGGGUUGUGGUCAAGGCCUUGUUUGGCUGUUGUGUAUACUGGCAAGUUCCACACUCUCUGGUGGCAUAGCUCCUGCAGCUUCGUUUUGUACAUCUUUUUUGCUUACAAUAUUUUCACUGAUUUUAAUUUUUUUUUUGGAAUGGGAAACUCAAGAGAAGAGAGAAAUGGAAUUUAGUUGCAAAAUUUGAAGUUUAAUUAUCAAAUAUUACGCCAAGAGAGUACGCUUCAGUUCCACGAACAGGUUCAGAAUAAAUGACGCUUGGGAAUGCUGAAAUGGAAUAAGGCCUUUUUAUAAACAAAUAAUAAUAGUAAACCGACGCCACGGUGUUUUAAAAAUAAGUUUUUUUUUUUUUAACCUUGAAAUUCCUUAUCACAGUGACGUUUUAAAAUAAUAUUUUUUUAAAAUGCAAAAAAAAAAUUUCUUUCUACCAUUUAUAAAAAAGAAAACUUAAAUAAUUUACUGUAUUAAACGUUAAAAUAAACUAAUAAAAAAUUAUCGAUAUUCUAAAAACCAAAUAAAUAAUACCUUUCCUUUAUCUUCUUCUCAAGGAAGGUGGCUAAAAACUUUCUUCUCCAAAGAGAUCUUGUUCUAUAAGGAGACAUGACAUGAAAGUUGAAGGAGAGGGUGAUCGAAGGGGGGAAUAAAAAAUCUUUUAUGGUUGGCUCGUGGACAUGGACUUCUUAUGAAAGGUGGUAACGCUGUCUCAACGUCAUAAUUAUACCGAAGCUAAGUCCAUUUCAAUCAAUAUAAAAUAUGAAUGCGGUAACGACUAACGAGAAGUUAAUAGUUUUGGAUCAAACGAAUAUACAACGUCGUUCGUGUGUUUAUCAAAUAAGAAUUCAAUUUAAACAAUGUAAAUGUGUUAACAAGAAAUUGAGAGUUAUUGAUAAGACGAGCAUAAAAUUAAAACGUCAUUCAUAUGUUCAUCAAACAAGAGUCCAUUUAUGUAUAUGUAUUAACAAGGAGUAGGGAGUUUUAGGUAAGACAAGCAUGUUGAGUUGUAAUCGGAAUAGACAGAAAUCAGAAUAGGAAAUGGAGAUCAGAAUAAAUUAUUUAUUUGAACUGUAGGAAUCGAAAUCGGAAUGAAUUGAAUUGUCAUAAAUGUGUUUACUUUGUCUUGGAAUCGGAAUCGAAAUGAAUUAAAUUAUAACAAAUUAUUAAAAAGUACUUAAUAAAUUAUUGUUAUAAUUAUUAUUUUAUAUUUUAAUUAUAGUGAUUAUUUAUUCAAAAAUUAUUAUUAUUAAUUAUUGUCAAUAAUAUAUUGAUAUAUUAAUUAAUUAUAAUUAUUAUUAUAAAUAUAUUAAUUACUAAUAUUAAUAUAUUUAUCUGCUGUACCGUACAUCCNNNNNNNNNNNNNNNNNNNNNNNNNNNNNNNNNNNNNNNNNNNNNNNNNNNNNNNNNNNNNNNNNNNNNNNNNNNNNNNNNNNNNNNNNNNNNNNNNNNNNNNNNNNNNNNNNNNNNNNNNNNNNNNNNNNNNNNNNNNNNNNNNNNNNNNNNNNNNNNNNNNNNNNNNNNNNNNNNNNNNNNNNNNNNNNNNNNNNNNNNNNNNNNNNNNNNNNNNNNNNNNNNNNNNNNNNNNNNNNNNNNNCAUCUGCUGUACGGCCAAGGCGGAUGUACGGUACAGCAGAUUUGACUUUUUAUUUUUUAUAUUUAUAUCUUUUAUUUAAAGAAGGGGCAUUUUAAGAAAUUUUGAAUGUCAACGGAAGCAAAAGAACUCUAGGUAAUGGGAGAUUGAUUCUCACCUCUCCCAAGGAAUCAAUCUCUCAUUCCUCAUUCUCAAAUAGUGGUGGGUUCCAUGAUUUCAAUUCUGAUUCUUACUCCAUUUUUUGGAAGUAAAUGCCGUUAAUCAUUUUGAUUCUCCAAUUUGGAAAAUAAAUGUACCAUAAUAUUUAAUCAAUUAUUAUGAUUAUUGGAUUUUUCAGAUACUUUUAUCUAUUUUGGUUGGAGGGACGAAGUUCACUUUCUAUUAAAAGAAACAUUAGAGGAGCUUUCAAAGUCUAGGCUAAGGUUGUUUCCCAUGGCCUUGAAGCAAUACCCAAAAAGAGCUUUCCGGCUGGCAAAAUAGGCUUGUGUUUCUGCGUCGCAAAAUGAUGUGAAUGAGCUUUCGGAGUGUUUCCUCUGAAAUUUUAGAUGCUGCAAAAUCAACAUUGUCCCGCUCGAAGUAACCCGGACAAUUUCAUUUCCUAAUUUCUUCUUAUUUAUUAUGGCAUUGAUUUUCAUUGCAAGCUCAUUGCUCUGCUAAGAAAAAGAAUAAAUGGGGGCCAAAAAAGGAAGAAAGAAAUAGAGGCAAAGGCAACAACAUUAAUGCACAAACCAGUAAAGGUAUUCCAUCGAUUUACGGCCACUGAUAGCAAGCCGGGGCCUUUAAAAACGGAAAAUACAAGCAAAGAAAAAUAGAAGCCAAUUGCUCAAUAGUGCAUAAUAUGCAUACGGAAAAUUUUCAUCACAUCACGACCCACAGUUAUUCGAAUAGGUAAUAAGACAGGAAUUUUCUUUCUUUGUUUAAAGUGAAAAAAAAAAAAAUCAAUGGCUCAGGAAGUAUCCCUCCAAUCUCCAGAACCACUCACUUGGCACUGGCAAGCUGGGUGCGGAGUAGCUUGGCAGCAGCGACCAUGUUUGAGAGGGCUGGCUUCACCUCAGUGUACUUGCGAGUCUUAAGACCACAGUCAGGGUUAACCCACAAAAUGUUGGUUUCUAGCACAGCAAGCAUCUUGUUGAUUCUGUCAGCAAUUUCUUCAGUUGAUGGUAUUCUUGGAGAGUGGAUGUCAUACACACCAGGGCCAAUUCCAGCACCAUACUUGACUCCCUCACGGAAGACAGACAGGAGCUUCUCAUCAGAACGAGAGUUCUCAAUGGUGAUCACAUCAGCAUCCAUGUCGAUAAUUGAGUGGAUAAUGUCGUUGAAGUUGGAGUAGCACAUGUGGGUGUGGAUCUGUCAAUCAAUAUACAAUAAGAUGAGACACAACAUCAACAGCUAAAUUAGAGAGAUGAGAUUGGAGAUUGAAAGGGCAACUGACCUGGGUAGUGUCCUGGACGCCACAGUUGGUGAUUCUGAAGGAGUGGACUGCCCAGUCCAAGUAGAAAGCAUGCUCAGAUUUCCUAAGAGGCAAUCCUUCCCUCAAGGCAGCCUCAUCAAUUUGAAUAACGUUAAUGCCUGCCUUCUCAAGAUCCUCGACUUCGUCCUUGAUGGCCAAAGCAAUCUGGUAGCAGGUUUCAUGUCUGCAAAAUUGGCAGCGAUUUAUGUUAAACAAUGUUUCCAUUUCAAAAGGUUAACCAAUAGUGAACCAGUUCUCAUUUAUAUACCUGGGCUGGUCAUUUCUAACAAAGGACCAGUUGAGAAUGGUGACAGGGCCAGUAAGCAUUCCUUUCAUUGGGCGAGCUGUCAUGCUCUGAGCCAAGGAGGACCAGAAGACGGUCAUAGCCUUGGGACGGCUCACAUCACCAUAGAUGAUGGGUGGCUUCACACAGCGAGAUCCAUAGGAUUGCACCCACCCAUUGGCAGUGAAGGCGAAACCUGAUAAUUGCUCUCCAAAGUACUCAACCAUGUCGUUCCUCUACAAAAACAAAUGUCCCAAUUCAAUAUGAGAUACAGCAUACUUCGUAUGCAAUUAGAAAUGCAGAAACAAAAAUGUAUAAAAUUUUAUCUAAUUCAAAACCAGGAGACAUUGCUUUGCUUCCAUUGGGCAUUGUGAAACUCACCUCAGGCUCUCCAUGGACAAGGACAUCAAUAUCAAGCUCUUCUUGGAGUUUGACAACCUUGUUGAUUUCCUCCUUGAUGGAAGCAACAUAUUCUUCCUCAGAAAUCCUAAAAAGGACAAAUAGUCACGGCACAGUUAAUACAGUAGUCGAAGUAAUUUCACACAUGGCAUUGAAUGAAGGAAAACCUCAGAUUGACUCACUUCUUAGCCUUGUAUUCACGGCGGACUCUCCUAAGUUCAAUGGUUUGUGGGAAGGAUCCAAUUGUGGUGGUUGGGAGGAUUGGAAGAUUGAGCUUCUUCUGUUGAGCAUCCAAUCUAGCACUAACGUUUGUAGCACGUCUGUGGUCUGAUCCCUUCAAAGCAGCAGCCUAAUUUACCAAGAGGAAGGAAUCACCGUUAGCAAAAAAAGGAAACUCUAAGGGGCAGCCACAUCAUAAAAAUGGAAAACAAAUCAAUCAUGCCACUUACAGCCUUUUGAACUCUCUCAUUGGUCACUCUCGGGGAGGACUUUCUUGAAGCCUGAGCUGCAGCAUUGGCAGAGAAGAAUCCCUGGAAACAAAUGAAAAGGAGAAACAAAGUUAGUCUCAUUCAUAUCAUUUCAAAAGGAAUAUACAUAUGCAAUUAGUGGGCUGAUUGUGAGAGAAAAUGUCCACAAAACUUUAACCAAACACCAAAUGCCCAAGUUGCCAAAUGAUGUUUAAUUCGGAAAAAUAUAUUUAGAAACAUUCAAAUAAAUAAUUUCCCCUUCUAAAUUUUCAUUUUCAACAACAUAUUUUACAAGCCAAGCUCAACUUCAGGCCAAGAUUUUCUGCUCCUAUAAUUAUAUUUUACCAUAAAACUAGGUCCUUGAAAGGCUAAGAUUUUCUGACUCUUGUGACUAGUCAAAGCCUAAGAUUCUUUCAAUUCAUCCGUAGCUAACAUUUUAGACUAAAAGUAUACCUCAUCCUUUUGGCCAGCCAAAGCCUUGGCCAAUGCAUUCACUUCAACAACUUUCUGGGCAGCAAAUGCCAGCCAUGACUUGAUUUCAUCGUCGAGUUUGUUCUCAUUAACAAGAUCAACAGCAGUGUGAAGAAGUGAGCAGGAGGUGGAGACCACAAGCUUGUCUGCAAAGAAAAAUAAUAAAUUAUACAACAAAUCCCAUAAAAGAAUAAGAAAUAUUUAUCACAAAGAAAAAUGCAGGCAAAGGAUGUAUACCUUUGCCAACAACACCCUCAAGCCCCCGGAGAACACUAAGAGAAGCAGCAAGAUCAUUGGCCCAAAUGUUCCUUCCAUCAACCACUCCAGCAAAGAGGUACUUGCCAGCAGGGAAUCCACUCUUGAUCAAUUCAAGGGUCUUCGUUCCACGAACCAAAUCAAAUCCAUAAGCGGUGACACCCUUCAAAGAAGUGAGGGUCUGGAAUGCCUCAGCUGGAACAUCAGCAAAGUAGGUCUCAACAAGAACAUUCAAGCCAGACAGAGUUGACUCUAGCUCGGCAUAAGCCUCACUGAAUGCAUGCAAUUUGUGUGAGUCAAGAUCCAUAACAAGCAAUGGCUCAUCAAACUGAAUCCAGGAAGCACCAGCAGCCUUAAGCUCAGAAAUAACUUCCCUGCAGAAGUGUUAAUUGGUACAACACAGAUUAAUGAUGUCACUCGAUAUAUACACACAGAGUUAUUUAGCACAUACACAUUUAUAAAUCAGUAAUAGGUGAUAAUUUCUUACUUGUAGAUUGGAAGGAUUUUCGGAAGAAGAGAAAGAAGAGAAAAGGUCUUCGCAACACCCUUGGCAGGCUUAGACAGCAACAAGUAUGACACAGGGCCAAUAAGCACUGGGACAGUUUCAACUCCAAGCUGCAGCAUUAGACAAGUGAUCGAUAUUAGCAUCUCACAAACUUGAUCUGAUUGAUAGAAAGUUACAAGCAAGUUCAGAAUUCGUUUAAUGAAAUCUCUAUGAAAAAUCUUCAGGGUCCACAAUGUGUUGAAAGUACCCUUUUCAAGUAAUUUAUCUUAAGACUAUUUUGCAAACAGUAUUGCUUUCCUUACAGAUCAAAUAAAUCAAACAACAUAUGAACACAUUUACUGAACCAAGUCUAAGUUCAAAGCUCUAUAAAUAAAUGUCAAUGAAUCUAUAGUAAAUUCUAUUGCAUCCUAAGCUAAAGAUGAGCAUAUCAUAUAAGAAUUUCAAGGUGAACGUAACCCAAUUUCAAUAUAUUGUAGAUUCAGAUAUCAAACGAAAUAAAAUUUGUAAAUAUAGACAGAACUGAGAAUAAACACUCACCCCCUUAGCCUCCUUGUACUCAGUCACAGCCUUGUGGGAAGCGUAGGAGAACUUAACAUCGGGUCCCAAUUCAGGAACAAUGAAAUGACUGCAUCAACACGAAGCCAAACACGCGUCAGCAUUCAGUACAAAACCAUUACACCAUAAAUAACUUGAAAUGCCGCUCUUCCAAGUAGUGAAUACUUACUAGUUGGUGUCGAACCACUUGGUCAUUUCCAUAGCGGGAACAGAGGCGUUUCCUCUGGCCAUGGAGAAGUAAACAUCAAAUCCAAUCUCGCCGCCGUUCCAGUUAUACCUCGGGGGCACGGCACCGAGCAUUGCGGUGGUGUCGAGCACUUGGUCGUAGUAGGAGAAAGUGUUGCUGGGAAUGUAUUUGAUCCCGGCCUGGGACAUCUGUUUCCAGAUGGAGGAUCUGAGAUCAGCGGACACCUUUUGCAAAUCCUCAGCGCUGCUCUUGCCAUCCCAGAAGGAUUCCAACGCGAACUUGAGCUCCCUCUUGGGGCCCAUGCGUGGGUAUCCAACGAUGUGAGAUGCCAUUUUACUGUCAUAAUCACGUCAUCAAUGAAUCGAAAAUCAGUCACUUUCAUUAAAUCAAGAAAAUAUUCAUUCAAAUGGAUGGGUCAUUGCUAUUACUGCUCAAAUCAAAUGAAAUCAAGAACACUUAUCAGAGCAUAAAAUCUUAAAUUAAUUUUUUUAUAAAAAAAUAAAAAACCAGUUGAAACAAGCUGAUAAUAAUCCAAGAGUUUGAGAUGAUUUUUUUCUUUCUGUAAUCACAUGAACAAUUAUGUACUUUCAGUCAUUUUUGAAGGAUUAAAACAAAAAAUUCUACAAAUAGAUUCUGAAAAGAAGAAUCUAAAAAUAGAUUCAAAAACAGUAACACAAGUAGAGUUCAAAUUGUUUUUCGGAAAAGAUUAAUUACAGAUCUGAUUGAUUCACGUUCAGAUCUAGCAAAAUCACGGCAGCCAAACACUAGAUCUAACACUAACAGUCACUCACCAGUCCAUUAGAAAAUGAAAUCAAGUUCAAAAUUCUUUUAAAGUUAAUUCUUUUUUAGAAAAUGACCAGAUUUUAGUUGAGUAUUAGUGAGUUUUUUACAAAAUAAUUUAUUUUUGUUUUUUAGAUCCAAAAGUUCGGAAAUCAAAACCAUGUUCAAUGCUUAUUCAUGAUUAACGGCGUAAAAACGCUACUGCAGAGAAGACAUAACGAAAAUGGGAACCGUACCAAACAGAGAAAGAAGAGCAGAGAAAUUGAGAGUCGAGAGGAGAGAGAGAAGAGAGCGGCGAGUUUGGGGGAGUGCCCUCUCCGUUAUUUAUAGCCAAAAAUCAAAUCUGGUUUGGUGGUUGCCUUUGGCGUGCCAACCUGUAGAUCUGAGAUUUUUCAUCUUAAUUUCUUUCUCUUAUUUAUUUAUUUAUUUAUUAUGAUUUUCAGUGCAGUUCAUAAAAUAUAGAGCUGACGCGCGCUUUUCUGAUGUGGCGCGUGAAUUGGAAAUGCGGUAGGUCUUUGUGGGCCCCACGGCACGGUCAGGACUGAAGGAAAAAUGUGAGAAGUUAUCAUAAUUUCAACAGUGCCAUAAUUAGCAAUUACACCACCAAAUAUUUCUUGAGUUUUUUUUUUUUGAUUGCUUUAAAUGCAGAGUUGUUAUGAAUUGUGUUAAUUGUAGAGUUGUUAUGAUUAGAUUACAUUAUAAUUCGUCACAAUUAUGAUAGGUAUGUACGUAUAUAAUAAUUUAUGAGUAAUGAUAUAACCACAAACUCUUAUACAAACUUAUUUUGUACAAAUUGAUGUGGCAUGAUAAAAUUAGUUGAAUUAAAUAUUACUUGAUCCACAUGAUUUGUUAUUAUUAUUUUAUAUUUUCAUUCAACCAAUGAAUUAAUGACACGUCAGUUUGUACAAGAUAAGUUUGUACAAGAGUUUAUGGUUGUAUCAUCACUCAUAAUUUAUAUAAGAUCUCGAAUAUUUAAAAAAUUUAUAAAUCAUUAUUUUCAUGUACAUUUACCUGGUAGCAAUGACAAUAACAUAAAAUAAACUCCAAACAAGAAUGGAUUAUAUUAUUUAUGUUAUUUUAUAGCUUUUUAAUUGAUUUUUAAAAGGAUUAAUUGUUAAUCAUUACUCUCCAACCGUAAUCACCAUUAAAUAUUUAUUUAAUUUAAUAGUCGGUAGAUCAUAAAUAAGAUUAGAAUAUUUAAUGGACAAUCUAAUUGCUACUACAAUUGUUAUCAUUUUUUUAAGGUAAGGGAUUAGACAAUACUCAAAUUUAUUUUUUAACCCCUUACUCCCUAAAGAUUCGAAUUUAACUAACUAAUUAAAUAAGACUGCUUAAAAACCACUCAACCACAUCUUUUGGGGACCAAUUAAUAUCGAUGUUUAAACUGAGGUUUAUUAUUAAAUUUUUUAAGUUUCAAGUUUCAACCGCUAACAACAUUAUCAUCGAUUAAUGAUAAAUAUAAUAAUAUUUCAUCAAAAAACCAUUUAACACAUCCAUCCAUAUUAAACAUAAGUAAAAAAUUUAUCAUGCAUUUCAAAUAUAUUUUUCAUCCUAAAAGUUAUGGAGAAAAUCUUGAUAUCAAAACUUACAAUGUAAUUAUGGGAUGUAAUUUUGCAUUUGAGGUCAGCACAACUUAAAAAUUACUAUGAAUGAAAAUUUAUAAUAAGCAGACACCACAAAAAAAAAUUAUUUAUAAGUAUUACAAUCAUGCAGUUUUAUUUAAGUAUUUAACCAAGUCAUUCAAUUUCUAAUUAAGACGGUAUAAAUUAGAUUUGGGCUGCCUAAGACCAAAAGUCAAAAAAAAAAAAAGAAUAUUCCUAAUAAGCAGCCUACCGCGGUCACGCGCCUUAAGAAACGCUUGGACUUAGCACACGAUUUUAAUCCAAAAUGUAUAAAAAAGGAAAAAUUUAUGAGGUGUAUAAUUAUCUUGAGUUGUUAUAUUUUGAAGAAACAAUGAAGAAAGUUGGUGGCCGAAGUUGAUCCGGGGCGAAUGGUGGUGGGCCCACGUUGUUGCAUUAUAAUUGGAGUUAUUGUAAUUUUUCUUAUAAUUAAUAAACUCCAUUUUUCAAAGAAAAUAAAUAAAUAAAUACACUCCCGAUUACGAAAAUAUCAUUUCAUGAGUGUCAAAGUUAGAGCUGGCAAAAUUUGACACGACCCGAUUACCUGACACGAACACGACAUAAAUAAAUAAGUAUGGAUCGUCAAAUUUAACACGAUUAUUAAAUGGGUCGGGUCUGGGUCAACACAAUUUUUUUCCGUGUCGGGUUUGGGUUAAAAUUCUUGACCCAUUUACCCGAUCAAUGACCCGAUUAUAUUUUCUAUUUUAAAAUAAUUUACAUAUUCUUAUAAUUAAAACUCAAAUAUUAGAGAUAUUUUUUUUAUUCUUUAAAAUGGUGAAUAUAAACACAGUGUUUUAUUUAUAAAAUUUUACAUACAUUUAGAGCUUCAAUAGUGUAAAUGUGUAAAAAUUGAUAGACAUGUAUAUUUUAUAAUAUUGAUAUAUAAUAUUAUAUAUAUAUAUAUAUAAUUAAAACCUCAAUAGUGUACAUGUGUAAUAUAUUGGUAGAUAUGUAUAUUUUAUAAUAUCGAUAAAUUAUGUAUGUAUGUAUUUAUGUACAUACGUAUGUAUGUAUUUAUGUAUAUACGUAUGUAUGUAUUUAUGUACAUACGUAUGUAUGAUAGUGUGUAAAUAUUUUAUGUAACUUUUGUUCAAUAUAUAGAUAUUAAACGGGUUAUUGGGUAACCCGAUUGUUUUUCCGUGUCGGGUUUGGGUCUCAAUAUUUUGACACGAUUAUUAAAUGGGUCGGGUUUGGGUCGACCUAAAUUUGACACGACACGACACGAACACGACCCGAUGACCCGUUUUGCCAGCUCUAGUCAAAGUGACCGUCACCUACGCAUCGCGUUUGUUGGGCGGGGUGGGUAAGGUGGGGCGAGGAGUUUGUUUGAUCGUCUGAUUACUUUGAUUUUGAUGAAACGUAUGGACGACGGCGAUGGCUUGCCAGCAAGUGGGUUUAUCAUGAUUUUGAUUGUAUUCGGGGAGAUGCUUAUGUAUAUCCUCAAAACUUCUUGGAAAUGAAAACCGCUGGGGUGGCAAAUCUUGACCAAUAAAGUGUGCGUGAUGUUGCGUUUAUAAAUUUCAAUAAUACUAUUGGCCGAUUGAGAUUAUUUUUAAAAAGUUUAAAAAUAAUUUUUAAAGGUUAAAUGUUAAUUUUAAUAUUGAAUAAAUUUUUAAAAAUUAUUUUUGAUAAAAUCAUUUUAUCCUCCAAUAAAUUUUAAAAAAUAGCGAUACAGUAAUUUUUUAAAAUCUAAUUUUAAUAAUCAAAACUAUUUUUUUAUAUAAUUUUAUAGAUAUCCGCAUAUAUAUAUUAUAAAAAUUCGAAAUCAUUAUUAUUAAUUAGGAAAUAAAAUCAUUAACUUUUAAGAAAUUAUUAUUAUUACCAAUUAUACUGACAUAACAAAAUAAAAAAUUAAUUAAUAUUAUAAAUAUUUAUUUCAGUUAUCAACUAUUAUAUAUACACAAUAAAAAAUAUUUUAUAUACAUAUUUAUAAAUGUAUAAAUAAUUUUUAUUCAAUAUUAUAUCGAAUUAAUCAUUUACAUUCUUGCAACAAGUUAACAAUAAAAUUUACCAAACACAUACGAUUGUUUUUAAAACUCAUAUUAUUUUUUUAAAAAAAAAUUACUAAACCUUUAACUGAUUCUCUUACAACUGAUUAUUUCUACAGUACAAUUAACAACAAUUAUUUUAAAAACUAUAACAUUUUCAAACUAGCCCCAUGACAAUAUUGUUAUUGUUGUUUUUCUUACUCUUAUCAAUAAAACUACGUUGCACAUAAGUGCAUAAAAAUUCACACAAAAUAAACUAUUUAACUUUAGGGUAUUAAUUGAAAAAAAAAAUCAGAUUAAGGUGAAUAAAUAUCAGAAAAUAACAAAUAGAUAAACUCUCACACUCUUUAAAAAAAUUAAUUUUAUAAUUUUAUUUAAAACCAACAGAUAUUACCAAACUUAACGGAUCAAUGUUCCAAUGUUUUCUUUUUAAUUUCAAAACCAACAGAUAUUCUUUGUUCAUUAUAUGACCUCCAAACAAAUAAUUUCAUUAAUAAAAUAAUAAUGAAAAGUAUCGUGGUGAGUACAGAGUAAUUCGGUGGCUAAUAAAAGUCUCUAUUUUUCGUCUCUGUUUUUCAUUUUAACUCUUGGGGUUGGUGCCACUUCGGCCUUGGUCGGAGUGGUGGGCUGCUGCCCUCACAAGUAUUGUGAGGACAGUGGUUCAAGCCCCCACAAAUAUUUUUGUGGGGGCUAACGUACUUAUUUAUUUAAUAUUUCAAAAAUUUCUUCUCCCUCGUGCAAUACGAGUGGAGUAUGGACAUCCCUCCUCUAUAAGGGAUUAUUUGUCUGGGCAUGUACUUCACAGAAUUCAAUGUAAUAAUAUAAGUCUCAAUCAUAUAUUUUUGAUUGUAAAUAUCAAUAUAAUAUAUCUGCUAUAAUAGCAGUUGUAAAUAUCUGUGUAAUGCAAUAAUAUGAUAAUUAAUCAUUAUUCAAAAAAAAAACUCUUGGGGUUGGUAGGCUCGUGAAUGGUCCACGUAACCUCUGGACGUAACACUCAAACAAAGACAGCACAAGGCACAUGAAAAAUGCCUAAAAACCGUAAAACCGUGACGUGUUCAACAUAUUAAUAAAUUUAUACUGUGUUUUCUUUUUUUUUUUAAUACUGUGUUGAUAAAGCACUUACGAUGGAACGACCAAUUCUAUUACUUGCAAAACUAAUUAAUAUUUCACUCUAUCAUCUAACUAAUGGAAGGCCAUCUUAAUUGAGGUUGCAAUAGUUAGAAAGUAGCGGGAAGGGUGGCCAAUGCUCCAUAUUAAUUUGCAUCAAUCCCUUUCUGGUGAAGAAGUACGGGUGAAGUAGAGGUCAAAGUUAGAAGAUGAAGGGUGUGUUUGGGAAUUGAGAGUGAGGUGCUGUAGUUUUUUAGCUGCAGUUGCUGUGAAAUAAAAGUUAUAACUGUGGAAUAGAAGUUGAGAAAAAAAAUUUGUUAAGCUGCCAAAGCCCAGUUACAAAUGUUACCAAACACCUUAGUAGCUAGGCUUUGGCAGCCCAUCUACCCCAUCACACUCCCAAACGGAUUAGAAGGGGACCGGGAUUGCUUUGUCAUAUUUGAAAAUGAUUUUGAAAAAAUAAAAAUUAAGUUCAGAAUUUGGUAAAUUCCUUUAAAAUUUCUUUUAGCAAAAUCACUCUCUCCUUUAGAUUUUGAAAAGUAUGGAAUGAGUAGUUUUUUAAAAUUUAAUUUUGAAAUUCGGAUUCAUAUUUAAUAUAAUACCAUAUAUCAUAACAUGUAUUAUAAAAAUCUAAAAUUAUCCUUAUUCAAUCAAUUAAGAAGUAAAAUCUUACAUUUAAAGAUAUUAUCAUUAUCAAUUAUAUUUAGAUAAUAAAAAAUACAAUUAAUAAAAUAAAAAUAUUUAUUUUAGUUAUCAAUUAUUAUAUAUAUACAUAAAAUGUAAUUAUAUAAACAUAUUUAUAAAUGUAUGUGUAAAUUAAAUUUGUAGAUUUAUGUUUAUAUAGAUCAUUUGCAUUCUUAUCACAUUUUAAAAGUGAGAUUUAUUAAAUAUAUAUAUGAUUAUUUUUAAAAUUUACAGCACUUUUUAAAACAAAAGUAUCAAAAGUUUAAUUGAUUCCUUAUUUUUACUGUACAACUAACAGUAAGAUGUGUUUGGUUCAAGUAUAAAAUGAUGGGAUUGGACAAUUUUAAGAUUAAAUAAUCCUAAUGCAAUGUUUGGUACCAAAAAUAAUUGUGGGAUAAAAAUAGUGGACCCCACCAUUUAAUCCAACACAAUGUCAAAAUUUUAUCACAAAGGGGGGUGUGGGAUAAGCUAAAACUUAAACGUAGGAUAACAAAAAAAAAGCCCAAAAUUUUAUACAACACAGUGAUUUUUUUUUUUUUUUGAGUAUGUCAUCAUCCAAUGAUAGUAUAUAUGCCAGAACACUCUUUUGACGUUAAUGAUAUGUAAUAUUUUCAUAUAUACAGCUAGUGACAUUGUUAUGUAAUUUCUUUUUCAUUUAUAGAUUUAUAUUAUUAUUAUAUUUGUUGAUGAUAUUCUUGUUAUGUUUAUAAUUAUAUUAUUUAGUAAUUUAUAAGUUUAAAAACUAUAACAUGUUAAAUAUAAGAAAAACUUUAAGCGAAGAUUUUGUAUUUUUUAACAAAUUUACCAAUAAUUUUUUAUUUAAGUUAGAUUAUAUUCCAUGUCAUUUUAAAAUAAAUCUAAGAUAAUUUUGAUAAAUUAAUAAAUAAGACAUAUUAUUAGUUACUAACCAAUUUCAUGGCAUACCAAACAUGAGAUAUGAUUAUUUACAGUCUAAUCCAACAUUGCACCAAACGUAAUAGAGUAUUAUAUAUAAUCCAAUGUUAUCAAAUCCAAUCAUAUCUUAUCCAAUCCGAUCCGAUCCAGUCUAAUCCAAUUUGACAUACCAAACAAGCCCUAAUUAUGUUAAAAACUACAUCAUUACCAAACUGACCCUUAAUACAAUCUCAUACAUACAUACAUAUAUAUAUAUAUAUUAAAAAUUAAAAAUUAUCUUUAUUUAGUUAGGAAAUAAAACCAUUAUAUUUAAAUAGAUUAAUAUUAUUACUAAUUAUAUUCAGAUAACAAAAUUAAUAAAAUAAAAAUAUUUGUUUGAUUUAUCAAUUAUUAUACACACAUAUUUAUAAAUGCAUGCGUAAAUAAAAUUUUAUAGAUUUAGGCCAAGGCGGAUGUACGGUACAGCAGUAUCUUUAUUUAGUUAGGAAAUAAAACCAUUAUAUUUAAAUAGAUUAAUAUUAUUACUAAUUAUAUUCAGAUAACAAAAUUAAUAAAAUAAAAAUAUUUGUUUGAUUUAUCAAUUAUUAUACACACAUAUUUAUAAAUGCAUGCGUAAAUAAAAUUUUAUAGAUUUAUGUCUAUUUAAAUCAUUUGCAUUCUUAUAACAUUUUAAAAAAAGAAAAGAAAAGUGAUUUACCAAAUACAUGUAAUUGUUCUUCAAACUUACAACACUUUUAAAAUAGAAUUUAAUAAAUGUUUAAUUAAUUUUUUCACAGCUGAUUAUUUUUAUGGUAUAACUAACAAUAAUCUAUAAACUUAUGGUAAAUAUUUGUGUGAAUGUUGGUCCAUGUAAAGAAGUAAAAACAACGCAUAUAUCAAGCAAUAAGAUAUCAAAACUCUUAGUAAAAUACAUAUACUAAUGAAAGAAUGACAGCAAUGCAAUAAAUAAGAUUAUAAUAUAAAUUAUUAAAAUUGUAUAUUAAAAAUUGAUGUAUGAAAUUCUUUUUAUUUUAGUGAUAGAUAAUGUGAUAUAUUUGAAUAAUUUGAUUAAAUGAAAAGAAAAAUAACAAGUAUGGUUGUGGAGGAAAUAAACCAUUGAACUGUGGAAUGUUAUUAAUUAUUGCUAUUUCAUUAUGUAACGUCCUGAUAAUAAGUACAGUGUUAUAGUAUAUUGAUGGGUGGUGAUAUUGUCACCCCUUAAAUUGUGUAAAGUCAACCUCAUUUACAAAUUUUUUGAUAUAAAUUAAAAAGUACAUUAGUUUUAAUAAAUUAUAUAUUUAUUGAAUAAACUAGAACCGUUAGGGAGCUGUAAUGUUAGCACUGUUUUAACUUAUUAUAAAAAAAAAAGUUAUGAUUUGAUCAUAACUCUAAUUUAGAAAAGAAAAAAGAGUUGAAUUGCUAACAUACUUAAAAAUAAAAUAAAAACAUUAUUAUUAGAUGAAAAAUUGUAAAACUUAAGGGGGCAUUUGCAAGUCCGCCACUACUCAAUAGAGCAUUAUUCAGUACUCGUUAAUAUAUCUCGAACUUUUAGGUUUUUUUAAUAUAUUUUUAAUACAUUUUCUAGAACAUUUAGAUAAAAAGAGUCAGUACUCCAAUUGAGUUGUGAAUAAACAUUUAGAUAAAAAGAGUCAAUACUCCAAUUGAGUUGUGAAUAAACUCAUGUUAAAAAAAAAAAAACUCAUUUUCACACUUGAAACGAUUAGUAAAUGGGUGAUACGAAUUUAACUUGGUCAAUAAUAUAUACCAUCUUAAGUUAACUUCAACUCAUUGAUCUUCUAUAGGGUUGAUCAGCCUGCCACAAGGCCCACAAAUUAUCACCUCUAAUGCUUUUGCAACAGUCGUUAUAAAUGCUGACAAAAUGAAACUUCUAUAUAUUUUGGUUUUUUUUUAUUUCUAUGAAAUAUAAGGCCCUUAUGGCAAAUUUCCAUCCAGCGUGAAAUUUGCUAGUUUGGCCUUGGUACUGUGGCACAUGCGUCAUGCAUGCGUGGCUGAGAUGCUUCUAAAACUAAUAAAUUAUGAAGAAUUCCAAAUUCGUACCAAAAAUAAGAGAAUAGGAGCUUGUCAUAGGUGUCCGCGGAUCGGAUUUUAUGGGUUAAACAUUAAUUCAUAUUUGAUUCGUGAUUUUGUAGAUUAUAAAUUUUUAAUUUAAUUCAAUUUAUGGAUUAGUGAAACUCAAUACAAAUUCAAUCCAUAUAUAUGCAAAUUAGAUGCGGAUUUAACCCAAUGCAUAUUCAAUCCAUCAUUUGGCGGAUUGAUUUGCAAAUUAAAAGUUUUUAAUUUUGUCCAAUCUAAAAAGUAAUUAAAUUAAAAAAAUCUAAUAUAUAAAUAAUUGAUUAAAUAAAAAAAUCUAAUGUAAAAAUAAUUUUACUACCAAUUAAAUUCAAAAUUGAACAAGAUUUAAAUAAAUUUAGAAUAAUACAUUCAAAAUUUUAAAAUAUAACACACCGAAAAAAAAAUUCAUUUAUUUAGAUCAAUACAUGAAAAUUAACUAAAAUUAUGAAUUUAAAUGUUGAAACUUGAAAGCUUGGAUGUAACAGGAAGAAUUUAAGAAACUUGAAGAGCUUGAAAAGAAAGUAAGAAAUUAAGUUUAAUUACCUCAAGUGGUGAAGUGAAACAGUGAUUGGCUUGUGCGUGCGGUGGGAUAGAGAUUUGGUGUUAUAUGUCAAAAUAUUUUGUUUGGCUUGGGGUUUUUGUUUUGCUUUAGAAAUUUUAAUGUUUAGGAAACUAUAUUUGCUUAUUUAAUUAUUUCUUAUUUUAUAUUGUUAUCGAAUAAAAUAUAAUAUUUUGUUAAUUUAGCUAUAAUUUUAUGCUGAAUAUAUUUAUUUAAAACGAUUUUAUUAAAUAAAUGUGCAUAUUUAACGAAGGUCUCUGAAAUUUCAACCUGCCUGCUAAUGAUAGCCAAUACGGCACGACCCACCAAAUGUCGGCCCACGCGGGCUUGUGGGCCAUGACGACUUUUUUUGUAAGGGCCCGGCACGGCCCACGGCACGAGUCCGUGCCCAAAAAAAGCCCACCUACCUUUUUUUUUUUUGUCCACAUGUUCAGCGUGCCUAAAAAAACCCACGUGCCUGACGUGCUUUUUUAAGCCCACCAGCCUAAUAGUAACAACAACAACAACAAUAAUAAUAAUUUCAUAGAAAUAAUUAAUGAAAAAUAAAAUAACAAUUCUAGAAUAACAAUUACAUCUAAUUUUAUUUGAACAACUAAUAUUAUAAUUGCACAUAAACUCUAUUGAAUGAAAAUGUAAUUUUUAAUUUAUUAUAAAAAUAUUUUGUUCAUAAUUUUAUUUUUUUGUGCGUAAAUAUGAAAAAUAUUUCAUUCACAAAUGAAACAUAUCUCCAUUAACUAUUAACUAAGUUAUGAUUUCAUAAAUGAAAUAUUAAUGUCGUAAAAUUUUUUAUUUAUCAUUUAUAAAAUCAUGAUAUUUAUUUAUCCAUUUAAUAAAUUAUAAACAUAAAAAAAUUAGAAUACUUAUUUAAACUAGGACUUAAAUUAAUUUUAAAAAGCCUAUACUAAAAAAAUAUAUUAAAAUUUUUAAUUUCAAGGUAUUUAUAAAAUCAUGAUAUUUUAUAUUUAUUUUUCAUUAAAAAAUUUUAUUUUGAUAUACUUUGGCCCACGUGCUAUUGGUGGCCCACGGGCCGCGUGCUUAGCCCACCAAUAAAGUGUGCUUAUUACAUGCCUUUUCGCGUGCCGUGUUUUGCCCCAUCUCUAAUCAUACCGUGCUUUUAAGGCCUGCGUGCCUAAAAUUCUAGGCCCGCCAGCCGUGCCGUGCCGUGCCGUGCCUCGUGCCGCCUGGCCCAUUGGCCAUCCCUACUGCCCGCCAACCACAUUUGUCCAAGAUCAAUUUGUAGGAAAAAAAUUUGAAAAUCAAUAAUUUAUUUAAUUAAUUGUUAAUGUAGGCAUUUGAAUCCCCACAAAAUCUGGGUGUCAGUUCUAGACUUCUGGUGAUAUAUUUUUCUAAUUAAGGAAUAAAAUAUUUUUGUCAUUUUUUUAAUAUUUUAAUUUACCAGGCAUAUCAACUAAUUAAUUUUUCUACUUAGACUAUUAAUUCAUUACGUGCGCAAUCUGUAGCCCGGCGCUCCAAUCCCAUGCAUGUUACACACAACUCAAUCAUUAUUUAUUUAUUUAUUUAUUUUGACCAACAACUCAAUGUUUUUUAUAGAGCUGUCAAAAUUUGACACGACCCGAUUACCCGACACGAACACGACAUAAAUAAAUGGGUAUGGGUCGUCAAAUUUAACACGAUUAUUAAAUGGGUCGGGUCCGGGUCAACACGAUUUUUUUCCGUGUCGGGUUUUGGGUUAAAAUUCUUGACCCAUUUACCCGAUCAAUGACCCGAUUAUAUUUUCUAUUUUAAAAUAAUUUACAUAUUCUUAUAAUUAAAACUCAAAUAUUAGAGAUGAUUUUCUUUUUUUUUAUUCUUUAAAAGGGUGAUAUAUUUUAUAAUAUCGAUAAAUUAUGUAUGUAUGUAUUUAUGUACAUACGUAUGUAUGAUAGUGUGGAAAUAUUUUAUGUAACUUUUGUUCAAUAUAUAGAUAUUAAACGGGUUAUUGGGUAACCCGAUUAUUUUUCCGUGUCGGGUUUGGGUCUCAAUAUUUUGACACGAUUAUUAAAUGGGUCGGGUUUGGGUCGACCUAAAUUUGACACGACACGAAACUGACACGACAUGAACACGACCCGAUGACCCGUUUUGCCAGCUCUAGUUUUUUAAUAUGAAAAGGUAUUGGUUAGCUUUGUCUUUAGUUUUUUCAACUUAUAAUAAGUUUGUAUUAAGGCUCCCUUUGGUACAGAUUUUCAAGUAAAACUUAUUUAGGGUUAUUUUUAGGGACCUCCCCUGAGGUUUGGUGUAUUAACAAUCUGAUAGAAAGUAUUCACGUAAUUACAAAGACCUCCCCUGACAUUUGUAUUAUGUUAAGUGGACUGUUAUUGACUAUUGAAAAUCCAAAAAUACCCUUCCUGCCAAAAUAUUUCUUUAUUCACUGAUGAACUGAUGGGUAAUUCGUGCCAAAAUCACAAAUUACUUAAGAAGAUGAAAAUAUCCAUUGGAUAAAAAAAAUGAAAUUGCUUAAUAAAAAAAUUGACAUUGCAUAAUAAUAAAAAAAAUUGAAAUAAUGUGCGGCGGCAUAGCUGCAUCUUGCAUGCAUAUUAUUAUUGUGAUUUUUUUAUUACAAACUCCAUCCUGCAUGCUUAUUAUUAUUGUGAUUUUUUUUAUUACAAACUACUUCAUAACUAAUACAUGCCACAAGAGCAGAGCUAUUAAAAGAAAUGAUUUUCAUAUUGUAAACUUGAUAGUACAGGUGUUGGCACCGACCAUAAAACCCUUAUGAUACCAAUCUUUGCUCCAUCCAUAUUUAAAUCCAGAUCAAGUAAAUAUUAAAUUGGAUUUCAGGUCCUGAAAAUCCCACUCUAUAAUUGAUAUCUUCGAGUUUUGUUGGUGCCUCAAACCUGGAUCUAGAGCAUCAUCUCUGUCAUACUCGGAACACCUAAACUAAUGGACUUGCUGCAGCUGCUUAUUCUUCUUCUGAAAUGAUGCACGCAGAUAGAUUACAGACUUUGAAAUAAGAAAUACAAUAAACAACAUGUAAUCGAACUUAAGAUUUCGGCAAACUUGUUUGAAAAUUAGAAUCAAACAAGGAAAAUGGCAAGUCAAUAUUUUUUAAUCUAGAAAAAGGGCAAUUUCAAAGUUUAUCACAUGCCAAAUUCAUAGUCUUGCAUCCACUAUUUUCUAGUUUGAAUAACAAACAAAAGCCUUAGACAAAAACACAGAGAACAUCUCACAUGGGAGCAAAAAUUGUGUGUAGAACAAUAUACUUAAGUUACAUGUGAUUACAAUCACAUUAUUUAGCAAAUACAAAAUUACCUUCUCAAAAAAAAAAAAAAAAAAAAAAACACCACCAAAUUAUUGAAGGUAUUACAACAAUAAGGCAAAAGAACACCAAAGGCAUGCACAAACCGAAACUAACACACAACUCAAUUAGUGUCAUGACCCCAAACUGAACAAUCAUAUAAACCAUUGUGGGCUCUCUAAAAGAUUAUCACAUUAUAAGCAAACAGAAACCUAUAUUUGAUGAACUACAUCUAGUACUUACACAACUCUUAAAUCAUUAGGAAAUUGCUCUUAUCAGUCAUUACCCAAUAGUUUUUUUCAACUCAACACUAACAACCCCAAAGAGAAACAACAUCCAGCACCAUUUUCAUUAAUUAAAACAGACCCAUUGUUAUUUUUAAUCAAUAAAAUAACAACAAUAUCGUGUAAGCCACUGAUUCAAGCAUUCAAGCUGUGUUUUCGAAGACUGACCUCUUCUUGCUAUCUAAUUCCAGUCACGAUAGACGCUAGAUGCCGGCAAUACUCGCUUCUUGGAAGCUCUGGACCACCGCACGACGUCAUCUUGUGCAGUAGAUGAAAAUAAAUCAAUGAUUUCAGAAAUUAUUUGUGAGUUGCAGACGCUUCUUCUCCAUGGAUGAAAAUGAUGGUGGGUUUUGUUCAAGUGUAAGCUGUGUUUACGAGGAGAAGUACACUUUGUGAAAAAAUCAUUUUCUUUCAUCUACUGGAUAAUGACUUUGGACUGGGUAAUGGUGUGUUUAAGUCUCUAUUUCACGGACAUUGAAGCAUAUUUUGCUUGAAUUUUGAUUUUGUUUAAAUUUCAAGUUUACUUUUACUUGUUUACCCUUUUAUACUGACGCUUAUGUAUUUUUAUACUAACGUUAAGGGAGGUCUUUGUAAUUAUAUGAAUACUUUCUAUCAGACUGUUAAUACAACAAACCUCAGGGGAGGUCCCUAAAAAUAACCCAACUUAUUUAAAUAGAACUUUUACAAAAAAAAAUUUAGUUAUUUGGUUGUCAAUAAACUUUUCAAGUAUACUUUGUUUGGUACAGCUUUUCAAGUAAAACUUAUUUAAGUAGAGCUUUUACAAAAAAAAAAAAAUUAGUUGUUUGGUUGUCAAUAAAAAUUUUUAUUAAAAAAAAUAUGAAAUUACUUUAUUAGUCAAGUUUUUUUAAAGUUAUGCUAUGAAAAGAAUAAAAUAAGAUUGUCAAAUAAAUAGAAAAUAUUUUAAAUAUUUUAACAUUUAAAAAAACUUUUUAACCUUUAUUUUCAAAAAUCUAAAAUUUAAACUUUUACUAGUAAAGGCAAAAUAAUUUAUUUAAACUUCAAAAGCUUUAUUAGAAAAAUAAUCAAACAAUAACAAAAAUUAUUAUAAAAGCUUAUCGAAUUAAAUAAGUACUUAUAGUUAUUAAAGAAGUUAUAUCUAACAGACACUAAUGCCGAAAGCCCCUUCUAAUUGUGGGUGUAAAAGUUUGAAUUAUGCAUACGGUUAAGGAGUUAAGGUGUGUUUGGCAACUGCAUUAAGUGGAAAUUUUUAUUUUGUUUCGAAUAAAAAUACAGCAAGCUCGUGUUCGGCUCAAAAUAAUGGAACGUUUAAUUUGCAACCGUCGGCGGACGAAGCACACCGUUCACGGCCCUUCGUAUAAAAUUGCAUAUGUAAACGUAAAUAGGUCCGGAUUCAGAUUCGUUGCUGUAGAGAGUGGCACGCACGAUCGGGCUGCUGUCGGUGGUAGGUUGGCAUUGGAAUUCUCAUCACGCGCUUCCCCAGGCGCCUACUUAUGGCAAAUUGACACGUGACGCGUGUGGAUUGAAUGGACAGAGUCCCGGGCAGUGUGUCCAAAGCUGCCAACCGUGCUCUGAUUUUUGUCAUCCAUAAUGGCUAACGACUAACGAGGGAGAUUUCCGGGCAGAAAGAAAUUGUUGUCGUUUCUGAAGGGGAAAAAAAAGUUAUUUAAUUUGUUGUUGAAGACAAAAUGAAGAUCUAAAUAAAUAAUGGCUAAUUUUGAGUGUAAAGCAACGGUAAAUGCAUUAUUAAAUUAGAUUUAGGGUCUGAUUGAGAUUAUUUUUAGAUUUAAAAUUAAUUUUGAAAAGUUAAAAUUAAUUUUGAUGUUUAUUAAUUUUUAUUAAAAAUUAUUUUUGUCAAAAUCUCUCAUCCUCCAGCAUAUUAUAAAAAAUAAGGAAGAAAUAAUUUUUUAAAAUUUAAUUUUAAGAAUCAGUUUUAUACUUAAUAUAAUCCACAUAUAUCCUCGUAAAUAUUAUAAAAAUUUAAAAUUAUUCUUAUUUAUUUAGGAUAUAAAAUUAUUAAAUUCAAACAUAUUAUUAUUAUUAUUAUUAUUGUUAUUAUUAUUAUUAUUAUUAUAAAUUCACACACGCACACACAUACUUAUAAAUUUAUAAAUAAACUUUAUUUAACAUUUUGUUCACUUAAAUCAUUUAUAUUCUUAUAGCAGUUUAACAUUAUGAUUUACCAAACACAGAUAAUUAUUUUUAAAAUCCAUAAUAUUUUUUAAAAUAAAUUUUAAUAAAUGUUUAACUUAUUAUUCUGACAACUGAUUUUUUUUGUAAGGUAUAACCAUUAAUAAUAAAUAUUUUAAAAGUUACAGUAUCCCCAAAUUGGCCCUUACUAAUACUCUGCGUUGCCAACUAAAUACUAAUUGUAACAUUAAACAUCUGGAAUAUUUUUCUCUAACGAAACAACACAAUUAAUUUCCCUCUAAAAAAGAAAAAGAAAAAGAAAAAAUAAACUACCAACCCCACCCCUUUAGACAGCAGAGUUUUAGCUGAGGCGGCUUGCUUGCAUAAGCAUUAAGGCUGCUCUUCACCAACCAUUGAACAUUCUUUCCAUUUGAUUGUUACACUUUACUUCGCCAUCUCAUGUCCAUGUACAUUGUUUUGAAAUGAAGACUUUGCGUACAACUAAUCUUUUUCAAUUCAUAAUAAAAACUCUUUUAAUUAGUUAAUAGCUAUAGCUUCCAAUUGAGACUAUAUAUAAAAAUCCAUAUUGACUGACCAAACCAAUAAUUUUUAAUUGGCUUGAGCAUUGUCUUACUUACUUCAAAAUCGUCACUCUCUUUGAAAAGAACAUGAGAGAGUUCACCUCCAUCUCAACCCUUAACCCUAUAUCUCAGUCAAGAGAUUAUUCAUGGAAAAUUCAGAAAAAAGAAAUGUUGCAAUAUUUACGAAACUCACGUCACGUGAGGUAAGAUAAAUUAUUCCUUUCUGCUUUAAUUCAUGUACAUAAUCAUGAGAAUAACUUUAAUUAUAGUUUAUUUCUCCGUUUUAAGAUUUUUCCUUUUUUUUUUUUAAUUAAUUAAUUAUAGUUCAUUCAUUAAUCCCAUAAGAAAUUAACACCUUUGCCGGUAAAGUCACACAUACAACAAUAUUUUAGAACAAAAGGGAAGAUCAUGCACGAUCAUGAUGUUUUAUUAUAUCUCUAGCAAUAUAAUUAUCUUAUAAUUAAUUAAAAACAAAACAGGUAAUUAAGCCAAAGUGGAUGGCAUGCAUCAAUCAUCAUGCAGAACACCUCCCCUUGUUUUAAAUAUAAAUAAAAGAAAUUUGUGCCCAGAAGACUUAAUUAAUACUUCUCGUUUCUGAAGUGCUCACAUGAUAUAUAGUCGGACGCAUUAUAUUUAAUUUCAUGAAUUAAUCGUACGGUUGUAUUUUGAGAGAGAGAGAGAGAGAGAGAGUGACUGAGUAAGAUAUGGCUUAAUUUAACCAAAUCUACGUAUAAAAUUUUAAAAUGAAUUUUUGAGUUUUAACUUAGGAAUUGUCUAUGAAUAAAAGUGUUAAUCAAAUAUUUCGUGUAAAAACAGUCAGCUGUAACAUUUUCGGUUGCUUUAACAAAACUGUAUAUUUCUGUAAUUUCCUAUAUGGGCCAAAAGGAACAUUUUUCUCAGAAAUUAAAAACUUAUGGUGAAAAAGAUAAGAAAACCAACAGGUUCAAAGGUGCGAGUAAACUGGGCUCUGGUGCGCCCAACUCCCUCUUUUGAUUUUGAGACUCUAUUGACCAUUGAGUUUGAGGCCCCAACGGCCCAGUUUAAAACUGUUAUGAAAAGAAAAAAAAUAUAACUAUAAAAUUAAAAUUAAUAAUGUUUGAUAAAUAUAAUUUUUAAAUAAUAAUUUGACAAAAAUAAUAUAGGGUCUUGUGUAUAUUUUUAUUUGGCAUUUCAAUUAAUCUGCUUAUAUAUAUAUAUAUAUAAGUUAAUCUAUAUUUCUUGCAAGAAGAUAGUAUUUCUUUAAUUAAAGUCAUAACUAAUAUAUAAAUUAUCAACUAACCAUCAAACAUUUAUCUCAUUUUAUCUCCACCACGAUCAUCACCAUUCAUCCUGUCACGAUCUUUAUGUAACUACAAUUAUUUUUUCUUUAAUAAUGUCAACCCACCAACCCCAUAACAAUAUCUCCAAACAUCUCAUCUCAAAAUUCCUAAUAACAUAAGUGUUUAUGUAUGAAAGAAAAUGUGAAAUAUAUAAUCAAAAAGUAGUUUAAUAAUAUAAUGUUUAAAAAUUAUGGUAAAAAUAAGUGAGAGUUUGGCAUGGCAAGUUAAUAAAAAGAUAAAAGCUCGGACACUUGAUGCAUCAAAGUAGCAAUGUCUGUCCAUCAUUAUCAUCAUGCGGGUUUAGGUGCUUCUCAUGAUAGCAUUAGCUGGUAAGACCAUCAUGCAUCGUACUUUCAUUGUUAUACAUUUUGAAGGUAAGAAUGGUUAUGUUACGUCCCUCCGAUUAGGUGUAUUUUUCUUCUUCUUCUUCUUCUUUUUCUUCUUCUUGUACGUAAUAAUUUCUCUUUCUUCCAUGAAGAUUUCUUUCUCUCUUUCUUUUUUUUUUUUUUAUUAUAAAUAAAAUGAUAAGAACUAAUUUCCUUACUAAUUGGUAGGGUCGUUUAAUGGUUCAGAUCCAUUAGAUUUUGUCAAAUUCAAGUCCAAUCCAUCAUAUAUUCCAUUUUAUAUUCCGGAUCCGAUCACUAAUAGAAAUCCAUUAUAAUUUAAAACAAUAAAACGUCGAAUCCAAUUUAAUUCGAUAUGAUCAAUCCAAUUAAAAUAAAAAUUUACAAAUAAAAAUCAUUAGUUGCUCUCUCCAGUUAUAAUUCUUAACAAUUAAAAAAAAUACAAAAUAUCAACUCCUUUAAUAUUUCAUGAUUCAUGUACUUUAUUAUCAUAUGGUUGGAAAAAAAAGUUGAAAUUUGAAUAUUAAAAGCAAAUGUUGGUUGCGACCUGCUGUUUGUAUUCUAUAUUGUUAUAGUAUAUUUAUAGUUAUUUUUUUAGCAAGUUAAAUAUAAAAGUGACAUAUAGUUUUUUUUUAUAAAAAAAAAUAAAUAAAGAAAAUAAAAAAUUAAUUGGUUGGAUUGGUUUAUAUUGGAUUUGAACAUAUAGAUCCAUAGACCAAUCUAAUAACAUUAUAUUUUUUAUUUUGCAAUCUUAUCCAAUCCAAUCAAAAUGUCAAUAUGACAAAAGUUGGAUUGGUUUUGAUCAGAUCGAUUGGUUUGAUUGGAUUGAAUUGAAUUAGAUCUUGAACAUCCUACCAAUUAGACUUUCCGUGAUUUUUUUUUUUCCAAAUUUAAUAAAGAGACUUCCCAUGAAUGUUAAAUGCAGUUUUAUUGAUGAAUUCUGCAAUUUUAAGAAAUGUUUGAUACACGAAUAAUGCAUCUCAUCAACCAAGUAACUGCGUCCCCUGCAGCAGCCGCGGCUUCAACUGGAAUACUGCAGCCACACCGGUCUUGAGACUCAACAUUCGGCCGAAACUCAAGCAAAAGUUGAACAAUAUCAGGCCUGCUUUGAGCUAUAGCAAUAUGAAGCAAUGUUUGUCCCUGCGCACCAGCAGAAUCAGCUGGGUGGGUUCCAAGCAGGGUCACUCUGUUCAAGAACCUCUCUUAUCUCAUCCAUUUCACCAUCCUUAACUAGCUGAACCACAACAUGGGACCCAACAAACAUGAUCUUGAUUCCUAUUGAUGAACGCUGGCUUCUUCCUUCUUGUGAACCAGUCACCAGGAACCGAAUCAAGCAUCAAUGUUGCAUCUUUAAUUGCAGCUGCAGGAACGACAACGCUAUGCAAGAGGAAGGAAUCAUCACAGUGAGGGAAAGUAUGAAGGAGAACUGAUCCUGGAGGAAGAUGAUACGCAAUCUCUAUGCUUACUGUUCCGAGUGGUUGCAUUGACCUGAAUAGUUCGAUCUAUUUCUCGUGUAUCUACUUGCGCUGCACUUUCACUCGAAGAACCUACAAAAUUAUUCAUAACCCGGCAUAAAAAAGACGUAAAGUUUUCAGCGCGAGCAUGGUAACUUCAAAACCCGUUUCAUACCUAUCAUAUUUCAUUCGUCCCGCACCCUCAUUUAAAAGACUAGAGCUUAUAAAAACUAGAAGUACCUUACCCAGAACAUAAAAGCAGACAAAACCCAGUCGAGUAUAAAUAUAACGUUGAAUAACACCUACCAUUUACCAUUUCAUUCAAGAACACCACACAAUUAACGAAACCAACAUCGGUAUGUUUUCAGCCGUUGUACUUUCAACUUAAUUUUGAAAGCGCGGCAGCUAAAGCCUAAACUGUUGUUUGAUAAAAGUCCACCCACUGACUGCUACCUGGCGGCUACCGAUUCCAUUCAAUAGCAGUCAUAAAAUAAAAAGUACAAAACAAACCUAUGUACAAAAAAGGCAAUGAAGCAGCCAUGGAUUCAGUUAUUUGCAUGUUUGGGAUUGUGGUUGAUUCCAAAUUGAGAAUAUACUGCGAAAUUAUGUUUGAUAAGCAUUUAUCUGAUGAUUGCUACUUUAUUGAGUGCCUGUUUGGUAUGGCUUAUUUAAAAGCCAUAAGUGCUUAUUUAAUCGUAUAAGCACUUUUUUAAAAUUUUUAUGGUGUUUGGUUAUUUUUUUAGUAGAGUUUUUUUAGCUUAAAUAAGCUAAUUUACCUCUACUAGCAAAAGCCCAAAAUUUGAGCUUUUGGGAGUAGAGGUUAAAGAGCUUAUCUAAAAAAUAUAUAAUAAAAAAAAUAUCAUACAGUUUAAUGAUUCAAAAGUGUUUUUUUUAUUGACAACCAAACACCCAAUGACUUUUUGUCCAAAAACUCUAUUGGUAUAAGCUCUACUGCUAUAAGCUCUAUUGUUAUAAGCUCUAUUUAAUAAGCUGUACCAAACGGAGCCUAAAGCAUUCAUUUUUUUUUUUCGCGUUUGGCCUCUUCACUUUUUAAAAAAUUUUAUGGUGUUUGGUUAUUUUUUUAGUAGAGUUUUUUUAGCUUAAAUAAGCUAAUUUACCUCUACUAGCAAAAGCCCAAAAUUUGAGCUUUUGGGAGUAGAGGUUAAAGAGCUUAUCUAAAAAAUAUAUAAUAAAAAAAAUAUCAUACAGUUUAAUGAUUCAAAAGUGUUUUUUUUAUUGACAACCAAACACCCAAUGACUUUUUGUCCAAAAACUCUAUUGGUAUAAGCUCUAUUGUUAUAAGCUCUAUUUAAUAAGCUGUACCAAACGGAGCCUGAGUCUUCAAAGAAAAACUCAAUCAACUAAUGCUCGAUUUUUUUUUUUAAAUGACAAAUCAAAAAGUAUUUUGGAGUAGAUUCUCAAAAGAGUGAUUAUUUGAUAAUCCACCAUAAUCCCACUUAGUUAUCAGAAAUAAAUUAAAAUCCGACGAAUGUUACUUAAGCCAAACAGCAUUAUUUUAUUUUGACCACAAGGACCACAACCCUCAAGCUGUCAAGCAACCGUUACCGUUAACGACCAAUCUUUCACCUCUCCGAAUCUUUGCAAGUCACUAUCAAGCAACCGUUACUAAUAUUUAAUCAAUUAUUAGGAUUAUUGGAUUUCUCAAAUACCUUAUGUACUUUGGUUCACUUUCUACUAAAAUAAAUAUUACAGGAGCUUUCAAAGUCUAGGCUAAGGUUGUUGUAAACAUAGAGAGAUUCAGAGAUAUAACAGCUUGUAAUUACAUACCACAAAGCAUAACUUUGUUCGAAUGAUAAUGAUCAUAAUCCAGAUUAUAGACGUAGAGAGAGGAGAAGUCGUACUUGAGGGGCAAAACGCGGCGUUUUGGCUCGUGGAUGAGGUGCUGCUCCUGAUCGUCGUAGAUUGAAGGGAGGAGAGGUCGGUCGAGGAAGUUUAGGAGACGGUGGAGGCUGAAUUGGUGAAUUUCGAUGAAGACUGACGAAUCCAAUGGGGCUUGAGGGUUUGAUUUGCAAAGAUGAAAGAUAAGAGCAUUGUUUUGGUUUCUGUGCAAAAAAAAAAAAAAAAAACAUGACAAGCGUUGUUUUGGUUUUGGUUCUAAAAAGAUGAAAAUUUGACUGCAAUGGAUCCAUACGCAGUCGGUGUCAAAUAAGAGGAGAAACAAAUAUGUUAAUCACUCGCUCAAUCACUCAUGCGAAGUGCCUUUUUUUUCGUUGCUUUGGCUUCUGAGAAAUAUAUGCAUCAGAUAUUACAACUCUCGAGGAUAAUGCAUUUUGUUCCGGUUUUGACUGAUAUUUAGUGGCAUUUGAUAAACUGAUACCUCAGAACCUGGUAGAGAGUUUAUUAAAUACAAAGAGAACAAAAAUAUAUGACUAUAUAAGCUUUUACACGGUUGAAGAUCCGGUCAAAUUGGCUUUAGUUAGCAAGAUCAUUUAAAACUUUCAAAAAACGAAUGGUAUCAAAAAGCUCUGAGAAAAAGCGGAAAAAAGGCACCACAAAGAUCUUGCAAUUAUUAUCACAGCUUGAUAAGACAUGGAAAUGUAUCUUACAAAUUGGCCUUCCAAGCAUCAAAGAAUUGGGUGGCGACAACUCCCAUUCCUAGCUGCUACCGUGGCCAGUCCCUUCUAACUAAAAUGGGACAGGACCAAAAGCAAGGUCUCUCCCACUCUCCUUAUGUAUAUAAAAUUCCCUACAUUCGAAUAAAACUACAGAAAAAGAUUUGCACAUCAUCUUCUUUCACCUUAUUUUGCAAUCUUCAAGAGUUUGGAAGAUUUCAAAGCACUUGUUAGAAUGUAGCACUCCAUUAAGCAUUCUCACCUUCCCCACACCCCAAUGGACCUCCUUAAUCCUAUCGGCAGACCUACAAAUUCUGCUGCAACUCCAAUCAAAUAAAGCAACACAAUUGUUGCCUGCCUAAGCCUUCCACUCACAGCCUGCAAUGACAAGUUCAUGAUACAAAAUCAGAAACAUUAAUAAACAAAAAGAUAUUACCAUUACUUGCAGAGGGGGAUUUGUUGCAAUUAGUAAAUGCCAUACUUAUCACUUUCAUUGCAGAUAUCAUCAUCAUCAUAAUACUAGCAAUCCAGCACUAAUAGUCAGAAUAAUAAUAAUAGUAGCAUGAAUAAAGAAUUUCUGCAGAGUAAGCUCUAAAGAUGCCGAAAGUGUCAUCUAUUAUGUUAAUAAUAAAAAAGUCUAUCAAGAAUUCAAGGAAAGAAAACUCAUUAACAAAGAACUAAACUUUUUAAUAAUGUUUAAUAAACUACGUACCUAUGAUUUUCUAUUAUUAACAUAAAUGACACUACGUACAACUGAUUUUCGCUUUCUAAUGUUUCAAAUCAUACCGAGAAAUAUAACAAUUACCAAGUCAGUAAGUAGCACAAUUACUUAAUAAGACUUUGACUUGUCUAACCCAAAAUUGUACCCAAUUCUAUACUCUACCAUGAAAAGCUUAUGAAGCCGAACUUACUUUGACCAAACAGUACUAUUAGCUCAGUUAAAGGAAACCACAAUUGAACAAAGUUCAGCUGAAAUAACUGAACUAAAAAAACUUGAUAAAAUUAAAAGUAACUUAUAACAGUUUAGUAAAGAAGCAUACAAAACAUGAAGAUAAAUAAACAUAGGUCUAUUUUCUUGACACUACCAGGUCCUUUCCUUUUUUUUUUUUCAGAUAAGAUCUCGAUACUACCAAGUUUUGGAUUCAAAAUCACCAUAUUACAAUAAUAGUUGUGAUUCAUGGGAUACAAUAUGUAGCAGCUUAUAUGUCGGCAAUUAUAGUCAAAGAUGGUUGUCAAACAUCAUCGCAAAUCAAGAAGCUAAUAAAGACCAUGUCACACUACAUUAACAUAUAUCAGUUCUUUGAUACAAAGAUAUUGAAUGUUAUACAUUUCUAAUCCCAAGUCCUGAAAUACAAAACAAAAGUUCACUUCACACAGUCAUAAAGCUAGACUGCUAGAUAAAUGGACAAUAGGCAUUGGAUAUGGGUCAAUAAACUAUUAAGCUAAUUAAUGCACACGAAGGAAUCCGUUAGAGCUAGUAAAAUAGCCCUUACCAGAGAACUCGCAGAAGCAUUCAAUUUCCUCAAAGGAGAUAACUUACAACAUAAACAUUUUGAUAAGCAGCAACACACAUAAAAUAGCUUCACUCACUAGCAACAGAGCAACUUCUUCAACACAUUAAUAAAUCCAUUUUCAUUUUUAAACAACAAAAUAAUGCCCAGUUUCUCCAGCACAAAUAGGGUAAGCAGUAAUAGAAAAACAUGAUACAUAGGAAUUACCGGCCUCAAGAAAUCUCCAAGCUUUCUGUCCUCUGCUUCAAUUGCUCAAUCAAGAAUGCCCCAGACGUUGCGCUAGCGUGGUGGUGGAGCGUCGCGAAGCGUGUGGCGGCGGUGUCGGCGAAGGCAGGUCAUGAAGAUAGUUGGUGUCGCGCAGCGAAGGCAGUGCAGCUGGUGUCAUGCGGCGAAGGCAAAUCGCGUGGUGGUGGAGUUGGGGUCGCGCGGCAGUGGCGGUGCGGUGCUGAGGCAUAAUAGUGGCGGUGGCGUUGUGCGACAGUGGCAGUGUGGAGGCAGAUUGCGUGGAGCUGGCGGUGUUGAGGCAGAUCGCGUGGAGGCAGAUGCCGCGGUGGUGGAGUUGCUGUCGCGAUCAACGCCUGUGAAAGGGAAUGAAAGUGAAGGAGAUACCUACAAAAGAAAGAACGAGUGAAAUUUUUUUUUUUGUUCAAGGGUUUCAAACCCACAUAAACCCGACUCUCACACGGGUUCAGUAAGUUUAUGCGGGUUUGACUGCAUUACAAAUUGGUAUGACCACAACAACAGUACAAUGAUUGGUAAUUACCAAACAUGCUAUUUAUGUUGGUAUUAAAUUAAUUUAAUACAAUGAGGAGUGGUAAUAUCAUACAAUGAGGACUGUUAAAUAUGGUGUGUUUAAUAUGUUGUAUUGUAUUAUAUUAUUUUAAUACAAAUAUAUUAUAUUAUCUUGUAUUAUAAUAUAAAAUAAUGAAAAAUAUCGAAUUUCAAUAUAUAAAAAAAAAAUAAAUAUAUUUUGUUAUAUUCGAUCUGCUGUACGGCCAAGGCGGAUGUACGGUACAGCAGAUAAGAAUUUAAAUACAUACACUUAUAAUACAACUUAGUUUUUCCACAUUGUCGAGGGAUCAAAACAACCCAUCAUUGGAGUCCAAUAAGUUAUGUGGCGACACAAAAAAGUAAUUCUAUAUUUUUUACGUCAUAAAUAUGUAAAAAAAAUUGUAUUAUAUCUUAUUAUUAUUAGUUUUUUUUCUUCAGUUUUGACAAGUAUAGUUUUCUUGUUGAGUGGCUCAACAAGGCUGGUUACAAUUUCGAAAUAAUGUUCCAUCUGUAUCUGUUUUCCUUUUGUUUUUGAUUUUGUAGUAUAGUUAAUUUGUACGAAUUUGUUGCCUGGUUGGUUUUUAUGCUGAAAAGUCAGUUCAUUGGAAAUGACAGAAAAUUGUUUUUCUUUUUCAUUUUUACAGAAAGAGAUUUGCAACGUUAUAAAAGUAAGAGAUCCUAAGAGAUCCCUGAAUCAUAUUAAAUAUUAAACUUAAGAUACAGUCAAGGCUUUUAUUAUGUUACUAAUCAUGUAACGAAUAUAAUUAUGUAGCAGUCGUUAAAUACAAAUUUAACAGUUAUAAAAAUAACAUGAUUUUAUUAUCUUAUAUUUCUAUAAUCGUUGAAUUUUUAUCUGCUGUACCGUACAUCCGCCUUGGCCGUACAGCAGUAUUGAAUUUUAAAAAUUUAAUAUUAUUUUUUUAAUAUAAAUAUUAAAAAAUAUCAUAAUUCUUCAUAGAAAUCGAAGUUCAUGGCAUUAAAUUUUUAACGCCGCAUACAUAAUAAAAAAUUUGAUUCUCUAGUGCCAAUAUAAUAGAAUACAUAAAAACGAGACUGAGAAACUACGAAUAAAGCUCAUCAUCAAGGACUCCACAACAUUAUAAGAAGUACUAUGUAACAUUUGCCAAAUUACAACACCACAUCAAGACAUAUCACAAUGUAAAAUUUUUCCUAGAGAUUUGGUAAUUGAAAAACACAAUUCAAGUUGAAAACUGAUAGUCGACUUGAAAAGUUUUAACAUAUCCCAUAAAAGAAAUGUGCCAUGCCAAAAAUCCUAACCCUUGGCUCUUUGACGAUAAGAAAAUAUUGAAAAUUCCAAAGUACAGUGCAAUGGGAGAAAGAAUGCCUAUAAAGCUAGUAAAGAUAUUCUUAAACUACUAUUGGGAUGUUGGGCUGGUUGGUAGCAAAACCCAAACCCUGCUGCUGAUUUCCGAUACCACCAUCUUGGAUAAGCCGCUCUCCCUCCUCUUCCUAACUCCUAAGCCCAAUAUCUUUCCAAAACCUUCACAACCCACUCAUAAAUCUCAUUGUUGUCGUGGAUAUGCAAAUUCUCAAUCUUUUCUACUCCAUCACACUCAUCAAUCAUUUGGGUAUAAACAUUAACCCAAUUAUCCAUUCCUAUUUCCUUGUUAACCUCACCCACCUUGAAAAUGUUCUCAAGACCCUAUAGACAAACUGUGACGAUCCUUUGGUCCAGACAAACCAGAAGAUCACAGAGCGGUUUGAUGCAACCUUGGCUCACCAGGAAUCUGCAGGACCAUGGUACCAUAAGUGAUUCUAUCACAUGAACAUCAUUAGAUUAAAAAAAGAAAAAAAAAAGAAACAUCUAUCGUAUGAACAUUGCUGAGUGAAUAAAAGAAACAUACUGAAUAUGUUCAUGAGAUCCUCCAUAUGUGGCAUUUAAGACAGGCCAUGCAGCCUCCUUGAUUUCAAGUUCUGCAUGUUGAAGAAGAGGUGCACAAAAGGAAGGAUAAGGAAGGAUGAUAUUGGCCUCCAUAACAGCCUGUUGAACAAAAAUUCGACAAAUUAUAAUUAUGAGUAUAUUUAAGUAGCAAUUUUGUCAGAAUUAACUAGACUUGACUAUUGAGGAAGUCACAUUCAAAAAUAGAAAAGACGAGCAAGCAAUUGUAUUCAUGCUAUCGGGACCAAAAUACUAUGAUGCAAGCAAGAAAGAAAAACAUACAUACAUAUAAAACACUAUCUUUGAGUUGGGUAUUUUCUUUCAAUUUUGAUAAUGGCAACUUUGGAUUCUUCUGCUGAAUUACCACCACCACCACACCAUUGUAGUUUCACAUACUAAGAAAAGGCAGGUUCAGCUCCCGUGCAUGCCCAUAAGAAUAUGAUGUAUUAAUUAGAAGUAAAAUUAAUCUGUUCAAUUAAGUUCUCUCAUAUAUUUGUGUGCGUGUGUGUGUUAAUUAGUUUGCUUUCAAAUCUUUUCUCCCUUCUUAAUGAUAUAUAUUUUAAGCAUGAUAUCAACCACGAUGAAUUUAUUAGCCGAUUUUUAAUUAUACAUUCAGCAUGAUAUCACAAACCAAGAGCUUAAGUUAGCCUAAUUCUUCAUAAAUCUAAUAAUUGCAAUCAAUAAUAAUGCUGAAAAUACGAGUUUGAAUUAAGCUAGCAACUGGUUCUUAAAUUAUGCAAUAUGUAAUCAUAGGUUUACUUAAAGAUUAAAGCAUUUCUGCAAUCCAUUGUGCAAAAAGAUUAAAAAAAAAAAAAAUAGUUGCCAAAUUUUAUCUAAAUAAAAAUUCCUUUAGUGGUUAGUACUUGUGAAUUAUAGAAAUUAUUAUUAGUACUUGCUCAGCGCUUUUUAGAUUUGUACAGGUAGAUUACGCCAUUUCAAACCCGACCAUCCAUUUAGACAUACAAAUCCCCCCAAUUCCCUGUCCUCCGCCUUUACGCGACUCUCCACUGUAUGUGCCAACUAAUUAAUUUUUUAAUUACUUGUUUAACUAAUUAAUUCAUUUUCUCAAAAGCAAGAUUAAUCUAUUUGUUCAAAUCUGAAGGAGAUUAAGUUAAUUGAUUUUAUUGUAUGUAAAAAUAUACAAAGAACUCAUGAAGCCAACUAGAAAAAAAAAAAAAGACAAAAAAAAAAUCAAACCCAGAAAUAAAAAGACAUGCUUCGACAGAAAAUUAAUGAAAAUUAUACUGAUUGUGGUUCAAUUUGAUCAAACCCAAAUAAUAACCGGUUUGAUUGAUGACUCAGCGGCAAAGUGCAGGCGCAUCAGUGGUUGCACAGAUGAGUGUUCUCGUGCGGCACGACAAAGCAAUUGUCGGCGAUUGUGAUUGGUGAUGACAUCGAGCGAUGGGGGUAAUGGCAUCGGUCGUGACUUUGUGAUGGAGAAACGAAUGUUAGAUUCGUUCGAAGAUUCGUGUUUUGAUUGAAUAACAAAGAGAGAUUUUAUGAGUUUUAAUUAUCUAAUACGAUACCGCAUAAACCCGACUCGUACGUGGGUUUAUUUUAUGCGGGUUUCGGUGUACUAAAGCAGUAAAUUUAUGUGGUGCAAUUCAAACUGAUUUCACCGCCAAAAGAUCGUGUAAAUUUAAUAUUAUACAGGGUUUUAAUACUAUGUAAUCCAAUACACCAAACAUGCCCUUAAAAACGGAUAGCAAUCCGGGGCCUUUAAAAACGGAAAAUACAAGCAGAGAAAAAGAAAAGCCAAUUGUUCAAAAGUGCCUAAUAUGCCCACGGAAAAUUUUCGUCACGACCCACAGUUACUCGAAUAGGUAAUAAGACAGGAAUGCCUUUGUUUGUUCGAAUAUAGAAGCACAAUGGCUCAGAAAGGAUCCCUCCAAUCUCCUUGGCACUGUCAGCUGGGUGCGGAGUAGCUUGGUGGCAGCAACCAUGUUUGAGAGGGCUGGCUUCACCUCAGUGUACUUGCGAGUCUUGAGACCACAGUCAGGGUUAACCCACAAAAUGUUGGUUUCUAGCACAGUACGCAUCUCGUAGAUUCUGUCAACAAUUUCUUCGGUUGAUGGUAUUCUUGGAGAGUGGAUGUCAUAGACGCCAGGGCCAAUUGCAGCAUCAUACUGGACUCCCUCACGGAAGACUGACAGGAGAUUCUCAUUAGAACGAGAGUUCUCAAUGGUGAUCACAUCAGCAUCCAUGUCGAUAAUUGAGUGGAUAAUGUCGUUGAAGUUGGAGUAGCACAUGUGGGUGUGGAUCUGUCAAUCAAUAAACAAUAGAAUGAGAUACAAAAUCAACAGCUAAAUUAAAGAGAUGAGAUUGGAGAUUAAAAGGGUAACUGACCUGGGUAGUGUCCUGGAUGCCACAGUUGGUGAUUCUGAAGGAGUGGACUGCCCAGUCCAAGUAGAAAGCAUGCUCAGAUUUCCUGAGAGGCAAUCCUUCCCUCAAGGCAGCCUCAUCAAUUUGAAUAACGUUAAUGCCUGCCUUCUCAAGAUCCUCGACUUCGUCCUUGAUGGCCAAAGCAAUCUGGUAGCAGGUUUCAUGUCUGCAAAAUUGGCAGCGAUUGAUGUUAAACAAUGUUUCCAUUCCAAAAGGUUAACCAAUAGUGAACCAGUUCUCAUUUAUAUACCUGGGCUGGUCAUUUCUGACAAAGGACCAGUUGAGAAUGGUGACAGGGCCAGUAAGCAUUCCCUUCAUUGGGCGAGCAGUCAUGCUCUGAGCCCAGGAGGACCAGAAGACGGUCAUAGCCUUGGGACGGCUCACAUCACCAUAGAUGAUGGGUGGCUUCACACAGCGAGAUCCAUAGGAUUGCACCCACCCAUUGGCAGUGAAGGCGAAACCUGAUAACUGCUCUCCAAAGUACUCAACCAUGUCGUUUCUCUACAAAAACAAAUGUCCGAAUUCAAUUUGAGAUCCAGCAUACUUCGUAUGCAAUUAGAAAUGCAGAAACAAAAAUGUAUAAAAUUUUAUGUAAUUCAAAACCAGGAGACAUUGCUUUGCUUCCAUUGGGCAUUGCGAGACUCACCUCAGGCUCUCCAUGGACAAGGACAUCAAUAUCAAGCUCUUCUUGGAGUUUGACAACCUUGUUGAUUUCCUCCUUGAUGGAAGCAACAUAUUCUUCCUCAGAAAUCCUAAAAAGGACAAAUAGUCACGGCACAGUUAAUACAGUAGUUGCAGUAAUUUCACACAUGGCAUUGAAUGAAGAAACACCUCAGAUUGACUCACUUCUUAGCCUUGUAUUCACGGCGGACUCUCCUAAGUUCAAUGGUUUGUGGGAAGGAUCCAAUUGUGGUGGUUGGGAGGAUUGGAAGAUUGAGCUUCUUCUGUUGAGCAUCUAAUCUAGCACUAACGUUUGUAGCACGUCUGUGGUCUGAUCCCCUCAAAGCAGCAGCCUAAUAGACCAAGAGGAAGGAAUCACUGUUAGCAAAAAAGGAAAUUCUAAGGGACAGCCACAUCAUAAAAAUGGAAAACAAAUCAAUCAUGCCACUUACAGCCUUUUGAACUGCCUCAUUGGUCACUCUCGGGGAGGACUUUCUUGAAGCCUGAGCUGCAGCAUUGGCAGAGAAGAAUCCCUGGAAACAAAUGAUAAGGAGAACCAAAGUUAGUCUCAUUCAUAUCAUUUUAAAAAGAAGAUACAUAUGCAAUUAGUGGGCUGAUUGUGAGAGAAAAAGUCCCCAAAACUUUAAUCAAACACCAAAUGCCCAAGUUGCCAAAUGAUGUUUAAUUCGGAAAAAUAUAUUUAAAAACAUUCAAAUAUAAUUUCCCCUUCUAAAUUUUCAUUUUCAACAACAUAUUUUACAAGCCAAGCUCAACGUCAGGCCAAGAUUUUGUGCUCCUAUAAUUAUAUUUUACCAUAAAACUAGGUCCUUGAAAGGCUAAGAUUUUCUGACUCUUGUGACUAGUCAAAGCCUAAGAUUCUUUCAAUUCAUCCGUAGUAAAAGUAUACCUCAUCCUUUUGGCCAGCCAAAGCCUUGGCCAAUGCAUUGACUUCAACAACUUUCUGGGCAGCAAAUGCCAGCCAUGACUUGAUUUCGUCGUCGAGUUUGUUCUCAUUAACAAGAUCAACAGCAGUGUGAAGAAGUGAGCAGGAGGUGGAGACCACAAGCUUGUCUGCAAAGAAAAGUAAUAAAUUAUACAACAAAUCCCAUAAUAGAAUAAGAAAUAUUUAUCACAAAGAAAAAUGCAAGCAAAGGAUGUAUACCUUUGCCAACAACACCCUCAAGCCCCCGGAGAACACUAAGAGAAGCAGCAAGAUCAUUGGCCCAAAUGUUCCUUCCAUCAACCACUCCAGCAAAGAGGUACUUGCCAGCAGGGAAUCCACUCUUGAUCAAUUCAAGGGUCUUGGUUCCACGAACCAAAUCAAAUCCAUAAGCGGUGACACCCUUCAAAGAAGUGAGGGUCUGGAAUGCCUCAGCUGGAACAUCAGCAAAGUAGGUCUCAACAAGAACAUUCAAGCCAGACAGAGUUGACUCUAGUUCCGCGUAAGCCUCACUGAAUGCUUGCAAUUUGUGUGAGUCAAGAUCCGUAACAAGCAAUGGCUCAUCAAACUGAAUCCAGGAAGCACCAGCAGCCUUAAGCUCAGAAACAACUUCCCUGCAGAAGUGUUAAUUGGUACGACACGGAUUAAUGAUGCCACACGAUACACACACACACACACACACACACACACACACACACACACACACACACACACACACACACACACACACACACACACACACACACACACACACACACACACACACACACACACACACACAGACAGAGUUAUUUAGCACAUACACGUUUAUAAAUCUGUAAAUAGGUGAUAAUUCUUACUUGUAGAUCGGAAGGAUUUUGGGAAGAAGAGAGAGAACAGAAAAGGUCUUCUCAACCCCCCAGGCAGGCUUAGACAGCAACAAGUAUGACACAGGGCCAAUAAGCACUGGGACAGUUUCAACUCCAUGCUGCAGCAUUAGACAAGUGGUAGAUAUUAGCAUCUCACAAACUUGAUCUGACUGAUAGAAAGUUACAAGCAAGUUAAGAAUAUGUUUGAUGAAAUUUCAAUGAAAAAUCUUCAGGGUCCACAACAUGUUGACUAUACCCUUUUUAAGUAAUUUAUCUUAAGACUAUUUUGCAAACAGUAUUGCUUCCCUUUACAGAUCAAAUAAAUCAUACAACAUCUGAACGCAUUUCCUGAGCCAAAUAUAAGUUCAAAGCUCUAUAAUAAAUGUCAAUGACUCUAUAGUAAAUUCCAUCACAUUCUGAGCUAUGGAUGAGCAUAUCAUAUGCCAAUUUCAAGUUGAACGUAACCCAAUUUCAACAUAUUGUAGAUUCAAGUAUCAAACGAAAAAAAAAAUAUUGUAAAUAUAGACAGAACUGAGAACAAACACUCACCCCCUUAGCCUCCUUGUACUCAGUCACAGCCUUGUGGGAAGCGUAGGAGAACUUAACAUCGGGUCCCAAUUCAGGAACAAUGAAAUGACUGCAUCAACACGAAGCCAAACACACGUCAGCAUUCAGUACAAAACCAUUACACCAUAACUAACUUGAAAUGCCGCUCUUCCAAGUAGUGAAUACUUACUAGUUGGUGUCGAACCACUUGGUCAUUUCCAUUGCGAGAACAGAGGCGUUUCCUCUGGCCAUGGAGAAGUAAACAUCGAAUCCAAUCUCGCCGCCGUUCCAGUUAAACCUCGGGGGCACGGCACCGAGCAUUGCGGUGGUGUCGAGCACUUGGUCGUAGUAGGAGAAAGUGUUGCUGGGAAUGUAUUUGAUCCCGGCCUCGGACAUCUGUUUCCAGAUGGAGGAUCUGAGAUCAGCGGACACCUUUUGCAAAUCCUCGGCGCUGCUCUUGCCAUCCCAGAAGGAUUCCAACGCGAACUUGAGCUCCCUCUUGGGGCCCAUGCGUGGGUAACCAACGAUGUGAGAUGCCAUUUUACUGUCAUAAUCACGUCAUCAAUGAAUCGAAAAUCAGUCCCUUCCAUUAAAUCAAGAAAUUAUUAAUUCAAAUGAAUGGAUCACAUUGUAUAUAUAUGGGAUAAAUAUAAUUAUGAACAAAAGCGUCUAAUCAAUCACAAAAAGCAAGCGACUGCAUCAAAUUUAGGGAUCCGACCCGACCCGACCCGAUCUGUAAAUUCCGGUUUCAAUCGGAUUAAGAUGAAACCUCUAACCCGAUAUAGUUGGAUUUUGGCCAACUCGAUCGGAUCAGAUCGGAUCGGAUUAAACUUAGUCCAAUCCGAAAAAUUCAAAAAAUCAAAACUACAAUAAGUAUAAAUCUAAAUUUUCAAUUCAAUUUGAUCUAAUCUGAAUAUAUUCGAAUCGGAUCAAAUACUAUGCUCUGCUUAAACUUGGAUUAUAUUUUUUUCAAUUUGAUUAACCUAAAAUUCGAUUGGAUAGAUCCAAAACUGAAUUUAUCUACCCCUCAGUCAUCAAUCAAUUACAAAACCUAAAAUCCGAUUGGAUAGAUCCGAAACUGAAUUUAUCCACCCUUAAGUCAUCAAUCAAUUACAAAGGCGACUGAUGUUUAUACAAUGGACAAUUAUUAAGUUACAGCUCUUGUAAUUUACAACUUAUACAAAAAUAUGUGAAAAAUUGUGAUAGGCAGUACAGUGUCAUGAUUUUAUACAAAAAUAUGUAAACAAUUGUGAUAGACGGUAGAACCUCAUGAUUUUAUAAAAAAUACGUAAAAAGUUGGGAUAAGUAAUGGAGCCCGCAUAAUUUUUUAUCAGCUGCAAGUUGCAAGUUACAGCAACUGUAACUUAGCGACCCCGACUUCAAUGUAAAAUGAGAAAGUACUCCUCCGCAUAGUACCUGAUGCUCAAAAGUCAAAUCACACGAAAUGCAAAUAGACUUAUCAGAGCAUAAAACCUUAUAUUACUUUUUGAAAAACGAUUUGAAACAAGGGCAAAAUUACAGUGUAACCGUACUUAGUCAUUGAAUUCAGCUCACAAUUAUCAUUAUAGUUAGAUCUAAUAACUAGAUCCAACUGUAUCCACAGUUAUAUUGUAGUUAGAUCUGAUAACUAAAUCCAGAUCCAGCUGUCCCCACAAUUGUCAUUAUAGUUAGAUCUAAUAAUUAGAUUCGGCUGAUUCAGCUGUGAUGUAGUACCCUGUAGUGCCAUAACUGGACAAAGAAACAAACUGAUAUAUUUUCUUUUUUGAAACAAACUGAUACUAAUCCAAGAGUUUCAGAUGAUCGGUUUUUUUUUUUUUUUCUAUAGUCACAUCAAUAAUUAAGUACUUUCAGUCAUUUUCGAAGGAUUAAAACGAAAACUCUAAAAAAAUUCUGAGAAUGAAGAAUCCGAAAAUAGAUUCAGAAAUAGUAACACAAGUAGAGGUCAGAUUGUUUUUUGGAAAAGAUUAAUUGCAGAUCUGAUGAACUCAAGUCUAGAUCUAGCAAAAUCACGGCAGCCAAACACUAGAUCUAAGACUAACAGUCACUCACCAGUCGAUCAGAAAGUGAAAUCAAGUUCAAAAUUCUUUUUUUUUAAUAGAUCCAAAAGCUAAUAUACAUAUAUAUAUGGCAAAAUAUAUAUACCGUACCCGAGAAGGACGAGCAGAGAAAUUAAGCUUUUUUCGAGAGAACGAGAAAGAAGAGAGACGAGACUGUUAGAAAUUGCUGUCAGUUUAAUUUUUAUUUAUAGCCAAAAACCUAACCUUGUUUAGUGGUUACUGGUUACCGUCUUCGGCGGUGUUGAUCUGAGAUUUAUCAUUUUAAUUUCUUUCUCUUACUUAUUUAUUUAAUUUGGGUCCAACUACGGUGAAACUGUAGUACCGUGCUACAGUUAUUUUCAACCGUUUGAUUCACUUGGAUGGUGGGAUCCAAUAAAAUCCAAUAACUGGGUGCAACCGUAGCACGGUGCCGCAGUUGCACCACAGUUUUUCCCAUUUAUUUAUUAUGCUUUCAGUGCAGUUGGCAAAAACAUGGAGCUUACGCGCGCUUUUCUGAUGUGGCGCGUGAAUUGGAAAUGUGGUAGAUCUUUGUGGAUCCGCCGGUGCAGUGAAGAGUGAAGGAAAAAAGAGAAAAGUUAUCAUGCCAGAUCAUUUGAAGAGAGCCGCAAUUAGUAAUUACACCACAAUAUAUUUCUGAUUAUUUGCUUACUUUGAUGAUGUUUUUACUGAUUAGUAAUUGGAAUAUGUUAGAAUCUAAAUAUAGUAGAAUCAUAAUAGAGUUGAAUCAAAAUAGACUAUAAUUAGAAUGGAUAAUGGGAAUUAGAAGAAUUAUUUGCUUUAGUUGUGAGAAUCCAAAUUGGAAUGAACUAUAUUGUCGUUGAUAUGUUUACUUUAUCAUAGAAUAUGAAUGAAUUAUUACAAGUUACUAAACAGACCUUAAGUUGAUUAUUGUCAUUAUUUAUUUAUUUAUUAUUAUUAUUAUUAUUAUCAUCAUCAUCAUCAUCAAAAUUAUUAAUCUUAUUAUUAAUGUUAAUUAUAAUAAUUAAUAAUUAUAAUAGUAUUAUAAUAAUAAUAAUAAUAAAAGCAAUCAUAAAAUGAGAAUUUCAAGAUUUAAGUAGAGAUAAUAUAAUUAUUUUAGAAAAUGAGAAUUUCCAUGAGAAUGUGAACUCUAUUAAUCAUUCCCAAUUUGAAGUGGGGCCUGCCAUUUUGAUUCAAUCUCUCAUUUAAGCAAGUAAAUACGACAUUUAUUCUCAUUCCCUCAUUCCCACUCUCAGGUAGCGUUUGUUUUUUAACUUAAUGACUUAAAGUGACUUAACUUAAUUAAUUAAGUUAAUUAGAGGUGUUUAUUUUUAUAACUUAAUGAGACUUUUUAGAUAAUUUUGACUUAAUAAAAUGAGCCAAUUUUUUUUGGCUUUUUACUUAAUGGAGAAAUUUGAAUUUAGUCAAUUACUUACUAAUGUCAAAAAUAUCUAUGUUUUAUAAUUUAUUUUUCAUGUCUAUCCCAAAACUCACCCAUAGACAUUUACCCCACAUAAAAAUAUCCCUAUUUUUUCUUUCUUAUAUUAUAUACGAUAAAAUUUGAAAUUUAUGGUAUUUUAUAUAUUAAAAUUCUAAAAUAAUUAUGUAUUCACUUGAAUAUAGUUUUACUUAUAACUGUUAAAAUAUUGUGGUAUUUAAUAUAUUAUUUAUUUGACAUUAAAAUUUAAUAAGGAUACAAAUGUAAAAGUACAUAUUUUCAGUUUUUUCAGUUAAAAAAAAAGCAACUUAAUACUUAUUUUUCGAGAUUCAGACGAAAAAAUAAACAUAUUAUUCAUAUUCAGACAUUUAGAUAUAUUCAGAAUUCAAACUAAUUCAGGUCUAUUCAGAUUUUAGACAAAAAAAACAAACGCCACCUCAAUCAAUAAACACACCAUAAAUGUAGAGUUGUUACUAUUAGAAUACAUUAUAAUUCAUCACAAUUAUGAUAGGUAUAUACGUGUGUAAUAAUUUAUAUAAGAUGCUAAAUUUUGAAAAUAAUAAAAAAUCAUUUAUACAUAUUUAAAAAAAUCAUUAAUACAUUAAAAUGUGCAUCACAUAUACAUUUACAUAAUAGCAAUGACCAUAGUAUAAAAAAAACUCCUAAAAGAGAACGACUUCGUUAUUUAUGUUAUUUUAUAUAUUUUUAAUUGAUUAUUAAAAGGAUCAAUUGUUAAUUAUUAUUCUCCAAACAUAAUCACCGUUAAACAUUUAUUCAAUUUAACAAUAGGUAGAUGUUAAAUAAUAUUGGAAUAUUUAAUGAACAAUAUAAUCACUAUUGCAGUUGUUUUUUUUUUUUAGUAAUGGAUUAUUCGAAACUCAAAUUCAUUUUUUAGCCCCCUUACCUCUCUUAAAAUUCAAAUUUAAGUGACUAAACAAAUAAAACUGCUUAAAAUCUAUACGACUACAUCUUUGGGGACCAAUUAAUAUGGAUGUUUAAAUCUUGAUUUAUUAUUAAAUCUUUGAGUUUCAACCACUAAUAACAUCAUCAUCGAUUAAUGACAAAUAAAAUAAUACAUCAUCAAAACCAUUAAACACGUCCAUCAAUAUCAAAAACAAGUAAAAAGUUUAGCAUGUAUUUCAAAUAUACUUUUCAUCCCAAAAGUUGUAGAGAAAGUCUCGAUAUCAAUGUCACUAUGAGACGUAAUUUUAUAUUUAAAGUCAGCGCAACUUAAAAAUUACUAUGAAUGAAUAAUACACCAUAAAAAAAUUAUUUAUAAGUAUUUUCAUCAUGUAUUUUUAUUUAACAAUGGUGACAUUUAUUUUUUAACUUAAUGACUUAAAGUGGCUUAACUUAAUUAAUUAAGUUAAUUUUAGGUGUUUGUUUUUAUAACUUAAUAGGACAUUUUAGAUAAUUUUGACUUAAUAAAAUAGGCCAAUUUUUUUUAACUUUUUACUUAAUAGAGAAAUUUGAAUUAAGUCAGUUACUUUCUAAUGUAAAAAAAUAUUCCUACUUUAUAAUUUAUUUUUCAUGCAUAUUCAAAAACUCACCCAUAGAUAUUUACCCCACAUAAUCUCAUCUUUAUUUUCUUCCAGCCGUCAUGGAAUCCCUCCUCACUUUGCUUCUCUCCUCUAGUUCUUGAAUCUCCCUUUAAUUUCUCGCUAGGCAAAGCACUUGAAUUGGGCUUUUUUUUUUUCCUUUUCAAUUACGUUUUCCAACAUUCACUUAUAUAAUAAUCAACUAGUUGCUACUCUUUUUAGUGAUAAAAUUUGAAAUAUGGUAUUUUAUAUAUUAAAUUUUCAAAAUUAUGUAUUCACUUAAAUGUAGUUUUACUUAUAAAUAUUAAAAUAUUAUGUUAUUUAAUAUAUUAUUUAUUUGACAUUCAAAUUUAAUAAGGAUAUAAAUGUAAAAGUACAUAUUUUUAAUUUUUUAAGUUGAAAAAAUAACUUAAUAUUUAUUUUCAGAUAUUCAAAUAAAAAAUAUAUUAUUUAAAUUCAAAAAUUUAAAUCUAUUCAAAAUUUAAAGUAAUUCAGGUCUAUGCAUAUUUCAAUCAUAAAAACAAAUGCCACAUGAGUCAUUCAAUUUCUAAUUAAGAGGAUAAAAAAUAGAUUUGGACUAUCCUAAGACAAAAACAAAAAAAAAAACAAAAAUAAGAUUUCCUAAUAAGUGUACUAACGUGGUCACGCGCCUUGAGAAACGCUUGGACCUAACACACUAUUUUAAUCCGAUAUGCAAAAAAAGAAAAAAAAAAAAAAGGAAAAAUUAUGAGAUGUAUAAGUUUCUAGAGACGUGUUAAAUUUUGAUGAAACAAUGAAGAAAGUCGGUGGCCGAAGUUGGUAUGGGGCAAUGCGAAUGGUGGUUGGCCCACGUUGCCCUGUAAUUGGAGUUGUUAUAAUUUUUCUUAUAAUUAAUAGGACUUGACACAGACUGCAGCAUCAGCCGUUGGAUGUGGAGGGAGAAACUAAACAAUAGAAAACCGUAUGGUGGGAUGACGGUAGAUGUUUGUUACAGAAACUGUACCAUAGACAGGUCCUAAUUAAUAAGCUCUACGUUUUGAAACAAUAAAUAAACUCCAGAUGACCAAAAUAUCAUUUCAUACUGCUACCUAGACAUCUUGGCGAGGGUGGGUAAUGUGGGGCCCGGAGCUUGUUUGAUCGUCAAUUAUUCUCUGGUUUGGUGAAACGAAUGGACGGACGAUGGUGAUGGCUUUUAGGAGAUUAGUAUUAUUAUUAUUAUUAUUAUUAUUACAUUGAGAUCGUAAAACAAAAAAUUCAAUUAAUAAUAUAAAAUAUUUAUUUAAUUUAUUAAUUAUUAUAUAUACACAAUAAAAAAAUUUAUAUACAUAUUUAUAAAUGUGUAAAUAAAUUUCAUUCAAUAUUAUAUCCAAUUAAUCAUUUAUAUUUUUCUGCUGUACCGUACAUCCGCCUUGGCCGUACAGCAGUAAAGCUGCUGAUGCUUUAUCGCGAAUUCAUGAGGAAAAUGUGAUUGAAGAACCCAAACCAACAACUCUUUGUUUGUCGUUAGACAUUUACCCCACAUAAAAAUAUCCCUAUUUUUUCUUUCUUAUAUUAUAUACGAUAAAAUUUGAAAUUUAUGGUAUUUUAUAUAUUAAAAUUCUAAAAUAAUUAUGUAUUCACUUGAAUAUAGUUUUACUUAUAACUGUUAAAAUAUUGUGGUAUUUAAUAUAUUAUUUAUUUGACAUUAAAAUUUAAUAAGGAUACAAAUGUAAAAGUACAUAUUUUCAGUUUUUUCAGUUAAAAAAAAAGCAACUUAAUACUUAUUUUUCGAGAUUCAGACGAAAAAAUAAACAUAUUAUUCAUAUUCAGACAUUUAGAUAUAUUCAGAAUUCAAACUAAUUCAGGUCUAUUCAGAUUUUAGACAAAAAAAACAAACGCCACCUCAAUCAAUAAACACACCAUAAAUGUAGAGUUGUUACUAUUAGAAUACAUUAUAAUUCAUCACAAUUAUGAUAGGUAUAUACGUGUGUAAUAAUUUAUAUAAGAUGCUAAAUUUUGAAAAUAAUAAAAAAUCAUUUAUACAUAUUUAAAAAAAUCAUUAAUACAUUAAAAUGUGCAUCACAUAUACAUUUACAUAAUAGCAAUGACCAUAGUAUAAAAAAAACUCCUAAAAGAGAACGACUUCGUUAUUUAUGUUAUUUUAUAUAUUUUUAAUUGAUUAUUAAAAGGAUCAAUUGUUAAUUAUUAUUCUCCAAACAUAAUCACCGUUAAACAUUUAUUCAAUUUAACAAUAGGUAGAUGUUAAAUAAUAUUGGAAUAUUUAAUGAACAAUAUAAUCACUAUUGCAGUUGUUUUUUUUUUUUAGUAAUGGAUUAUUCGAAACUCAAAUUCAUUUUUUAGCCCCCUUACCUCUCUUAAAAUUCAAAUUUAAGUGACUAAACAAAUAAAACUGCUUAAAAUCUAUACGACUACAUCUUUGGGGACCAAUUAAUAUGGAUGUUUAAAUCUUGAUUUAUUAUUAAAUCUUUGAGUUUCAACCACUAAUAACAUCAUCAUCGAUUAAUGACAAAUAAAAUAAUACAUCAUCAAAACCAUUAAACACGUCCAUCAAUAUCAAAAACAAGUAAAAAGUUUAGCAUGUAUUUCAAAUAUACUUUUCAUCCCAAAAGUUGUAGAGAAAGUCUCGAUAUCAAUGUCACUAUGAGACGUAAUUUUAUAUUUAAAGUCAGCGCAACUUAAAAAUUACUAUGAAUGAAUAAUACACCAUAAAAAAAUUAUUUAUAAGUAUUUUCAUCAUGUAUUUUUAUUUAACAAUGGUGACAUUUAUUUUUUAACUUAAUGACUUAAAGUGGCUUAACUUAAUUAAUUAAGUUAAUUUUAGGUGUUUGUUUUUAUAACUUAAUAGGACAUUUUAGAUAAUUUUGACUUAAUAAAAUAGGCCAAUUUUUUUUAACUUUUUACUUAAUAGAGAAAUUUGAAUUAAGUCAGUUACUUUCUAAUGUAAAAAAAUAUUCCUACUUUAUAAUUUAUUUUUCAUGCAUAUUCAAAAACUCACCCAUAGAUAUUUACCCCACAUAAUCUCAUCUUUAUUUUCUUCCAGCCGUCAUGGAAUCCCUCCUCACUUUGCUUCUCUCCUCUAGUUCUUGAAUCUCCCUUUAAUUUCUCGCUAGGCAAAGCACUUGAAUUGGGCUUUUUUUUUUUUCCUUUUCAAUUACGUUUUCCAACAUUCACUUAUAUAAUAAUCAACUAGUUGCUACUCUUUUUAGUGAUAAAAUUUGAAAUAUGGUAUUUUAUAUAUUAAAUUUUCAAAAUUAUGUAUUCACUUAAAUGUAGUUUUACUUAUAAAUAUUAAAAUAUUAUGUUAUUUAAUAUAUUAUUUAUUUGACAUUCAAAUUUAAUAAGGAUAUAAAUGUAAAAGUACAUAUUUUUAAUUUUUUAAGUUGAAAAAAUAACUUAAUAUUUAUUUUCAGAUAUUCAAAUAAAAAAUAUAUUAUUUAAAUUCAAAAAUUUAAAUCUAUUCAAAAUUUAAAGUAAUUCAGGUCUAUGCAUAUUUCAAUCAUAAAAACAAAUGCCACAUGAGUCAUUCAAUUUCUAAUUAAGAGGAUAAAAAAUAGAUUUGGACUAUCCUAAGACAAAAACAAAAAAAAAAACAAAAAUAAGAUUUCCUAAUAAGUGUACUAACGUGGUCACGCGCCUUGAGAAACGCUUGGACCUAACACACUAUUUUAAUCCGAUAUGCAAAAAAAGAAAAAAAAAAAAAAGGAAAAAUUAUGAGAUGUAUAAGUUUCUAGAGACGUGUUAAAUUUUGAUGAAACAAUGAAGAAAGUCGGUGGCCGAAGUUGGUAUGGGGCAAUGCGAAUGGUGGUUGGCCCACGUUGCCCUGUAAUUGGAGUUGUUAUAAUUUUUCUUAUAAUUAAUAGGACUUGACACAGACUGCAGCAUCAGCCGUUGGAUGUGGAGGGAGAAACUAAACAAUAGAAAACCGUAUGGUGGGAUGACGGUAGAUGUUUGUUACAGAAACUGUACCAUAGACAGGUCCUAAUUAAUAAGCUCUACGUUUUGAAACAAUAAAUAAACUCCAGAUGACCAAAAUAUCAUUUCAUACUGCUACCUAGACAUCUUGGCGAGGGUGGGUAAUGUGGGGCCCGGAGCUUGUUUGAUCGUCAAUUAUUCUCUGGUUUGGUGAAACGAAUGGACGGACGAUGGUGAUGGCUUUUAGGAGAUUAGUAUUAUUAUUAUUAUUAUUAUUAUUACAUUGAGAUCGUAAAACAAAAAAUUCAAUUAAUAAUAUAAAAUAUUUAUUUAAUUUAUUAAUUAUUAUAUAUACACAAUAAAAAAAUUUAUAUACAUAUUUAUAAAUGUGUAAAUAAAUUUCAUUCAAUAUUAUAUCCAAUUAAUCAUUUAUAUUUUUACAGCGGUUUAAUAAUAAUAUUUACUAAAUACAUAUGAUUAUUUUUAAAAUUCACAGUAUUUUUAAAAAUAAAUUUUAUAAAAUUUUUAACUAAUUUUCUUUACAACUAACUAUUGAACGGUUUAACUAAUAGUAAUUAUUUUUAAAAUUAUAGUAUUAUCAAAUUAGUCCUAUGUCAAAUUUGUUAUUGCUGUUUUUUUUUUAAUUAAAAAAUUACAUAGUGCAUACGUGCAUAAUAUGCCCAACUCAAAAAUUCACACAAAAUAUACUAUUUAACUUUAAGGCUUUAAUUGAAAAAAAAAAUUAAGAUUAAGAUGAAUAAAUACUAGAACAUAACAAAUAGAUAAACUCUCCCAUUCUUUAAAAAGAUUAAUUUUAUUUUAAACUUACACUUCGAAUUCAAAGUAGACAUUGAUUGAUAAAAUUAUACAAACGGAUCAAUAUUCCUACAUUUUCUUUUUAAUUUCAAAACCAACAGAUAUUGUUUGUUCAUUAUAUGACCUCCAAACAAAUAAUUUCAUUAAUAAAAUAAUAAUGAAAAGUGUCGUGAUGGGUAUAGAGUAAUUAGGUGGCUAAGUUUCUACUUUUCAUUCUAACUCUUGAGGUUGGUAGGCGCGUGGGUGGUCCACAAAACCCGUGGACGGUAGCAUUCAAACAAAGACUGGAGGCACCAGAAAAAUGUCCAAAAAGUGUGAAACCGUGACGUGUUCAACAUGUUAAUAAAUUUAGGCAAAUGUUAAAGUUACGGAGCUGGCUACGUUACAGAAACUGUACGUAACAGCCAUGCAUUUUUUAUUCGUUGGAUCUAGAGACUGAAAUUGGAUGGUUGGGAUUAAAGGCCAGAAUAGAAAUUAAUCACGGGCAACCGUUUUUAACAUUUAGAAGGGUUUAUUUUCAUGCACACCCAAAUAUUUUGACAAAUAUCAAUAUGCACCCAGUAACUUUUUAUGUAAAACCACAUAACCGACCCGUUAACUUUUCUACUAUUGAAUUAAAAAACUAUCAUGCCUCAAUUGAAUUAAAUUGAUCAGGUAAAAUAUCUUUUAUAACUUGUCAAUUUUUACAGUGAAAUAUACGAGUAUUUAGUAAAAUCAAAUUUAUUUUUUAUUCAGUAAUCAAAUUUUUUUAUUUAGUGAAAUCAAAAUUAUUUUUCUUUAGUUGUAAGAUUUUUUUAACAAAAAAAUUCUAAAAUCAGAUUUAACUCAUUUACUAUUUUAAAAAAUGAACUUUUUACUAACCAAACUAGAGUUUAUCUUUAGUCAACAUAUUUUUUUCUCUAAAAUAACCUUUGAUAGAAUUACUUAUAUAAACAUGUCAGUAUCAAAAUUACUUCAUAUUUUACCAUCCAUCAAUUUAAACUAGUGUGAAAUUUUUUUAGUUUGAUAUUGAAAAUAUGAUAGUUGAUGAGAGAAAUCUAAUUCAAAUUUACAGAUAGAAUAGUUUCUUAUAAUUGCGUACAUGGUAUAUCAAAAAUAUUUUUUUGUGAGUUUUUAAAAAAAUUGUGUCACAAGAUGAAAUUAUCUCUUGAUUUUUCAAUUCCUGGAAUUUAUGUAAAACAAUAAACACAAGUAAAUCUUUUGGUUUGUGACUUCUUGAAGGAAUGUUUGGGAACGCACAAGUUCCUCUCUCCUUCAAAAAGAAUGAUAAGUGCAAAUACCAACCUAGAAAAUUGAUUUAUAAUUCAAAGAAGAUUUGAUUGAAGAUGAUUAAUUGAAAUUUAUCUUUGCAUGAUGUCAAACAUUUUUCAAAAUGACUAAGUCAAGUCUCUUUGUUAAUUCAAAUCAAGAAAAAUUAGAAAAAUAUUAAUGCAUAGAAAUUCUACUAAGAGUUAUUUAUGAAAUUCUCAAACGAAUAGAAAUUAAAUUAACAUUUUUAAAUUUUAGUUAUGGGUUUAUUUUAAAAAUGGGUUUAGAAAGAAAUUUGAGGGGUUUAAAGAACCCCGCCCUUUCUUUAAUUAUUCGGUGAAUUUGAAAUAUAUUAAUAAGGUAUAAGAAUAUGUUAUUCUAAUCUUCUUAUGCAAAAUCUAUGCAAUUAAAAAAAAAUUCACCAAACGGUAUUUGUCUUUUUAUUGACAUUUAAUAAUAUUGAUGGCAAAUAUAUACAAUUAUCAAUCAAUUGUUAUCAACUAUUCAAGAUAACUGAAAAACUAAUUGCGUGAAGUUGGAGUAAUGAUUGUUUGAAUUGCCAAGAGUUUUUUUUUAAUAGAAACUAUUGCAAUUCAUAUCAUUAAAAAACUUAAAGACUACAAGUCGAAUAAAAAAUCUUUCCUUAUAAAAGAAUUUGACCAACUCAAAGUACAGUGUUAAAUCCUUGAGAUACAAUGAACCUAAAAAUCCUACUUUGACACACCACAAAUAAUGAAUCUAACUUAACAAUCAAUGGAGAUAAAUCAAUUUUACUAGCAAAAUAUAAGCCAAAACACAAGGCAACGUCUUCACCAAAAUCAAUAUCAUUCAAAUAAUUCCCCUUGUGAACGCCUGAAGCUAUCAUAAAAACAACAAAAAAUAAAAAAAUAAAAACAAGUAGACAAGCAAAAAAAUUCCCCAAUAACAAGUUACCCUACAAAACUUUUCCUUGUAGAACAUACACAGAAACCGCAGCUAUAGGGCUAUCGAAAGUAGGGAUGGCAAUGGGGAGGGGAGGGGAGGGGACCAAUCUCCCCAUACCCAUCCCCGAUAUUUUGCGUAUGUCCCCGUCCCCGUCAGAAUUGCUUGAGAGAAUCUCCAUCCCCUCCCCGAAUAAUAACAGGGGAUCCCCGAGGGUCCCCGGUCUUUGGAAAAGCUAGGAAAGAAAAGGGACGUGAAAAACAAAGGGGGUAGAUUUUUUGAAGGGGAAAGAAAAAGAAACCCUAGAUCUAAAUUUUUCUCUUCUCUCUAUGAAGAACUAAACCUAUUAUUCUGGUUGAAGAUUAAUAAAGCUUUGGUUCAUCAUUACUGUGAGAUCUUUCUUAUGCUUUAAUUGUUUUAUUGCUUUUUGGGUAUUUGUUUAUUCUCUAAAUUAUUGUCAUGAUUAUAUUUGUUAAUUAGAUAAUUGGCCACUAUUUAAUUAUCAACUUAAUCUAUUGUCAAUUAAAAGAUUCAUCGUAUGAAGAUUUUAAUAUUUGUGACAAAUAGCAUAGCAGUGCGUUGUGUUAUGAGAAUAAACAAUCUAAUUUAAAUGAACCAUCGUAUGCGUUUGUUGAUUAGGAUUUGGGUCUCUCUGAUUUUUCAGGUUGUCAAUUAAUUAAAUCCUAUGAUUGUAUCUAGGGUUAUCUAUUAAUUAGGGAAAUAACCAAUGGUCGUACCUUAGUUAUCGACUAGUUAAAGAGAGAUUGGCUAUUAAAGGGUCUCAGUAGCUAGGGAUGGCAAAAAUCCCCACGGGGACGGGCACCCUCGGGGAUUUUCCCCAUUCGGGGAGGGUACGGGGAUAAUUUUAUACCCAAUUUUUUUUUCGGGGAGGGGACGGGGAAAAUUUUUUACCCAAUUUUUUAUUCGGGGAGGGGACGGGGAUGAGGUGGAAUCCCCAUCCCCUACCCAUUUCCCCAUUUUAAUUUUUAUUUUUUAUUUUUAAAAUUACUAAUAAAUAUAUAACAAAAUUAUAAAUAUUGGCAAGAUAUGAGUGGAAUUUUGGGUGUGACAUGUAUAUUUGAUCCAAGGUAUAAAAAGAAGUUCAUUGAAUAAUACUUUUCUUUUUAUUUUUAAAAUUACUAAUAAAUAAAUAACAAAAUUAUAAAUAUUGUUAAAAAUAAUAAAUAUCAAAAUAGUUGUAUGUUGGGAAAGUGGUCACCCCUUACCAGGAAUUAGUGGAAGAGUAUCAAUUGAAGUUUUCACCAAUUGUUUAUUGCUUUGAUUAUACUGGUUGUAGUUCUUCUAUUAGAUCUACAGGGGAUUCUUAUAAGAAAGCAACCAAAUGGAUGACAUGUUUUGAUGAUUAUGUAAACAAUGGAGAUUGUGCAGUUGUUGCAGAUGAAUUAGAUUCAUAUUUGGAUGAAAAAGUUAUACCCCGGAUGGAAGAUUUUAAUAUUUUGAGUUGGUGGAAGACAAAUGCUAAUAGGUAUCCUACAUUAGCUCGAAUUGCUACAGGACGAGCAGGAGGUAAAUAGUUUUAUUAAAAAUAUUAAUUAAGUAUCUACAUUUAUUUCAUUUAUUUUAUUGCCGAUGUAAAAAAUAUUUUUUUUUUCUUUUUAUUGUAGGAUUAUGAAGAUUGAGACAUUGAUAAAGAUAAUUAUUUUAAUAAUUUAUAUUUUGAAUGUGACUUUGUAAUGGAUCAAUAUUAAUGUAAGAUAUAUUUUAAACUUUAUUUUUAUCUGAAUUUUUUAUUUUAAUAUGAUUAAUUUAAAAUCAAAAAUAAAAAAAUGUAUUAGACUAUUAAUUAUUCGGAGACCGGGGACCCUCGGGGAUCCCCUGUUAUUAUUCGGGGAGGGGAUGGGGAUUCUCUCAAGCAAUUCUAACGGGGACGGGGAGGGGACGGGGACAUACGCAAAAUAUCGGGGAUGGGUAUGGGGAGAUUAGUCCCCUCCCCUCUCCUCCCCAUUGCCAUCCCUAGAUUUUUGCCAUCCCUAUCGAAACCUCUACCCACCACUAUUAGAGUUAAAAAAAUCUCUGAUAUGAGUGUAUUCUUCUAAUUUGAACUCUAACGUGAUUUUUUGAGAGAUUCAUUGGAAAAAAACCUUAAGGAGUUAAAGAAGAAAUUUAAAAAAAAAAUCAUAAAAAGAGGAAUGAAAAGAAAAAGAUGCUUUACCAAGAGUUGAUUGACAGUAAUUGGUAAAUUUGAGCAUGCAAUAAAAUUUACCCAUAUAUUCAUAUGACAUAAAAUAUAAUUUUAUUCAUUAAUUACACUACUAAUUUGUCUAAAUUUUAGUUUUUAAAAAAAUAAAUUUCUAUAUAUUUACAUAAAUCUUAGUUUUUAUAAAAAUAAAUUGAAAAAUAAAUUUAUGUUUUUAUAAAAAUAAAUUUAUGUUUAUUUUUUUACAUUGACCUGAAGAAAAGACUAGUACUACUAAGCUGCUGUACGGCCAAGGCGGAUGUACGGUACAGCAGCAAUUUGACUGUUUGGGGGUGGGGUUGAUGGCUUACAUCAAAGUUAGUGUGUGCUAAGGAUUAACAAUAAUAAUGGGGUAAAUAUGAAAUUAAUCCUUGCCCAAGCAUUAGAAGUUCGUCGGUUUUCUUUUAACCGGAUAAUUACCGGUGAAUAUGUCACGCGUUCCUACACGUGGCAGCAUCUAAUUUAUUCGCUUGUCAUUUCAGUUUCUGUUAGUUACAGUUUCUGUAACGUAGCUAGCUCCGUCAGGUACAGGCAUGUUGUAACUUACGUUUCUCGUAAAAAUCAUAUAAGUUCUAUUUCUACCGCUAGGGUGAGCAUGGGUUGAUUUGGAUUAAAUUUUAAGUUAAUUUAAAUUAAAUUAUAAAAAUUUGGGUGUAAUCUAAAUUAAUUUAAAUAUUUUUAACAUAACUCAUGGGUUGGUUAAAUCAAACUAUAAAAAUUUGGUCCAACUCAAAUUAACUCAAAUAUUUUCAACACAACCCAAAGCAACUCAGUUGGAUUUUAUUAAAAUUAUAAUAAUUAUUAAUUGUUUUUAAACCAACCAUUUUGAGUUUGGUUUGGAUUUUAUUAUCAAAAUAUAUUUUUUAUUUUGAGAAAUUUAAUUUUAUCAAAAUUAUAAUAAUUAUUAAUUGUUAUUACUUAUUAAAUUGAUAAUAACAUAUAAAAAUUAUAAUUCAUAAAAAUUAUAAAUAACAAAUUUUACAAUAACUUAAUCCUUAAAUUAAAGAAUACUAGAAAAUUAAAAUAAAGUUUAAUCACAAAAAUCAUUAUUUAUCAAUAAAUAAGAAAAUUCUAAUAAAAAACUUCUACAAGCACGAUAUCGACAAGUAAAUUCAAAGAAAGAAAGAAAGAAAGAAAAGACUAGUACUACUAAGUAUUAACCCUAUUACAACACAAACUCUAACAAUGUCCAUACAAAUAAAAAAAAAUAAGACAUUCUAACUCAAGUGUCAAAGCAAUCCAUCAUAAUCAUUUCCAUCCGUAGUACUUUAAUCGAGAGAUUCCACGAUUAACUGACAAAAUGUAUGACAAUGAUAAUUUACAUUGAUUAUGACAUAAUAGAGAUGGAUUUGUCAAAGCCAAAUCAUUUGCUGGAAAGGAAUUUAGUUGAAGUAGGAACCAAAAUUCAACUUAGAUGGAUCUAUAAAAUUGGUCAUUCAAUACAUAAGUACUUUAUCAACAGAUUCAACACAUUAUAAAUUUAUGGAUUCAACUAAGUUACAACCAGCUGCAACUUAUUCCUCUCACAUAAACAAUAAUACAGCGGUAGGCUAUAUUAUUUACAAAAAGUACUUAUGUAUUGAAUGACCAAUUUUAUUACCUGCAAAAUUAAUUAAUCUUUCACUCUAUCAUCUAACUAAUGGAAGGCAAUCUUAUUUUAGGUUGUAAUGAUUAGAAACUAGCAGGAAGUGGGGGCGAUGCUCCAUAUUAAUUUGGAUAAAUCCCUUUCUAGUGAAGAAGUUAAAAUUAUAAAAUAGAGAUCAAGAUAGAAAUUUAAAGGCCCCGAUUGUUUUUUACAGACUUAAAAAUGAUAUUGAAAAAUUAAAAGCUAAUUUUAGUAUUUAAAAAUUACUUUAAGAAAAAUCACCCUAUCUUCCUGUAAAUUUUGAAAAGCAUGAAAAGAGCAGUUUUUCAAAAAUUGAUUUCGAAAAUUAGUUUCAUACUUAAUACAAUUCCAUAUAUCCUAACAUUUAUUAUAAAAAUUCAAAUUAUCCUUAUUAAAUUAGGAAAUAAAGUCAGUACAUUUAAAUAAGAGUGAUGAUAUAGACACAAACUCUUGUACCAACUGACGUAGCAUUAAUUUAUUAGUUGAAUGAAAAUAUAAAAUAAUAUAAAUAAAUCAUGUGGGCCAAGAAAUAUUUAAUUUAACCAAUUUUAUCAUGUCACAUUAUAAGCAACUUAUAAACUCAUUGGAUUCGACUCUUUACUAAAAUAAAAAUAAAUUAAUAUAUAUAUAUAUAUAUAUAUAUAUUUACAUACAUAAAAUGUGAUUAUAUACACAUAUUUAUAAUUGAAUAUGUACAUAAAUUCUGUAGAUUUAUGUCUAUCUAUACAUUUGCAUUCUUACCACAUUUUAAAAGUGUGAUUUACCAAAUACAUGGGACUUAUUUGAAAUUUAUAGCACUUUUAUAAAUAAAAUUUAUCAAACGUUAAACAGAUUCUCUAUUUUCGCGUAUAUAUCCUCAUGUAAAUUAUAAAAAUUCAAAAUUAUCUUUAUUCAAUUAGGAAAUUAAAUCAUUAUUUUUAAAGAGAUUCUUAUUAUUACUAAUUAGAUUCAAAUAACCAAAAAAAUACAAUCAAUAAAAUAAAAAUAUUUAUUUUAGUUAUCAUUUAUUAUAUACACAUAUUUAUAAAUGCAUGUGUAAAUAAAAUUUUAUAGAUUUAUGUCUAUUUAAGUUAUUUGCAUUCUUACAACAUUUAAAAAAUGAGAUUUACUAAACACAUGUGAUUGUUUUUAAAAAAGUUACAACACUUUUAAAAAUAAAAUUUAACAAAUGUUUAAUUGACUCUCUCCAAAGGUAAUUGUUUUUACAGUAUAGCUAAAGUAAUUUAUAAAUUUAUGAUAAGUAUUUGUGAAUAUUGGUCUAUGUAAAGAAGUAAAAACAACAUAUAUAUUAAGCAGCAUGAUAUUAAAACUCUUAGUAAAAUACAUAUACUAAUAAAAGAAAGACAACAAUGCAAUAAAUAAGCUUAUAAUAUAAAUUAUUAAAAUUGUAUAUUAAAAAAUUAUGCAUGAAAUUCUUUUUCUAUUUUGGUGAUAGAGAAUGCGAUAUAAUUGAAUUAUUUGAUUUAAUAAAAAAAAAAUAUGACUGUGAAGGAAAUUAACAAUUGAAUUGUGGAAUGUUAUUAAUUGUUAUUGUAUCAUUUUGCAACGUUCUAAUAAUAUGGACAAUGUUACAGUAUAUUGAUGGGCGGUAAUAUUUUCACCUCUUAAAUUGUGUAAAGUCAGCUCCAUUUAAAAAAAUUAUAUAUAAAAAGCCCAUUAGUUUUAAUAGUUUCAAAUUAAGAUUAAAUGCAAAUAAUUAACCAAUUAAAUCCUUAUUAAUAAGAUCAUUGAGCUUUAAUUAAACUAAUAAAAUGCAUUUGAUAAAUGAAAUUUACGAUAUUUAAUUACAUGAAAUUUAUUGACUACAUGAAUAAUAUAAUUGUUCAGCUGUUUAAACUUUUUCCCUAUUUAAAUUUUAAAAAACAAUGUGAAAUUUUGUAAAUAGUUCUUUGAAAUGGGGUGGAUUUACACCAUUUGUGCAGUGCAAAUAUCCUAAUUCUAACAUUUUUUUUAAAAAAAAAGACCAAAUCAUAACAUUUUUUGUAUACUAAGUUAAAGUAGUACUAACAUUAUAGCCCCCUAAUGAUUUCAAUUCAUUCAAUGAAUAUAUAAUUUAAGCAUGUUAUAAACUAAGUCUCUAAAUCGAAUUAAAAAAAGAAAAAAGAGCUUAAUUGCUGACAUAGUUGAAAAUAAAAUAAAAAAUUUUAUUAUUAGAUGAAAAAUUAUGAAACUUAAGGGGUAUAAGCGAGUCGGCAGCUGCUCACCAGGGCAUAUGUAAUAUUUGUUAAUACAUUUCAAAAUUUUAGGUUUUUUAAUAAUAUUUUCAAUACAUUUUCUAGAAGGUUUAGAAAAAAAAAAUGACUCAAUACUUUAAUCGAGCUAUGAAUAAACUCAUGUGUUAAAAAAUUUCAUAUUUACACCCAAUAAGAUUAAUUAAUGGGUGAUACAAAUUUAAGAUAGUUAAUAAUAAUAUAUAUCAUCUUAAGUUAACUUCAACUCAUUAACCUUGUAUAAGGUUUGAUGGGUCGUGCCGCAAAUUAUCACCUCUAAUCCUUUUUGCAACAGGCAUGAUGAAUGCUAACAAAAUGAAACUUCUAUAUAUUUAGUUGUUAUUCUUUUUAAUGAAAUAAUAAGGAGCUUUGCUGCAAAUUUCCAUCCAGCAUGGCAUGGACGCACGUGAAAUUUGCUAGUAUGGUCCUGGACAUGCGUGGCUGAGAUGCUUCUAAAGGCAAAGAAUUCCAAGUUCAUACCAAAUAUAACUUUCUGAUAUUUUUGUGGUAUCAAGUUUGUUUUUCACAAACUAAGGUGUCGGCGUAAAGUUGUUGUCCAUGCAAUGAAGUUUUAUACAUAAAUAUAUUAACCUAAAUUGUUACUAAAGUUCCAUAAUUAGCAGUUCCUGAGAGUUUUUACUAUAUAUUUUUUUGUUUUAAUUCAACAUAUGUUUAUUUAAUACGAUUUUAUUAAAUAAAUGUGCAUAUUUACCAUAUUUGUCUACGAUCAAUUAGUUGGAAAAAAAAAAGAAAAUUAAUAAAUUUAUUUAUUUGAUUGUUAAUGGUUUAGGCAUUUGAAUUCCCACAAAGUCAGGGUGUCAGCUCUGGACUUCUGGUGAUGUAUUUUUCUAAUAAAGAAAUAAAAUAUUGUUGUCAUUUUUUUAAUAUUCUAAUUUACCAAGCCUACCAACCAAUUAAUUUUUCUAAUUAGAUCAUUAAUUCAUUACACGUGCAUUCGCUGGCCCAGUGCUCCAAUCCCAUGCAUGCUGCACAACUCAAUGUGUUUUAAUAAGAAAAGGUUUGGUUAGCCUGUGCUGAUGCCAGAAGCCCCUUAAGGAGUUCAGGUAAACGUAAAUAUGUCCAGAUUUAGAUUUGAAUAUGUAAACGUAAAUAGGUCCAGAUUCAGAUUCGUUGCGCUAGAGAGGGGCACGCACGAUCGGGCUGCUGUCAGGUGGUACGUUGGCGUGGCAAUUCUCAACACGCGCUUCUCCUGGUGCAUACUUACGGCAAGUUGACACGUGACCCGUGUGGAUUGAGUGGACAGAGUCACGGGCACUGAUUUUUGUCAUCCAUAACGACUAACGUCGGAGACUUCGAGAAGAAAGAAAUUGUUGUCGUUUCUAAGGGGAAAAAAAUAUUUAAUUUGUUGAAGACAAAUUAACGUCGGAGAUUUUUUUUAUUUUUUAUUUUUAAUUUUGCAAUCUAAACCAGUCUAAUCAAAAUGUCAAUUUGACAAAAGUUGGACUGAUUUAGAUUAGUUCUAUUAGUUUGAUUGGAUUAAAUUGAAUUAGAUCUUGAACAUCCUAACACUUUUCAUGAAUGUUUUCCUUUUUUUUUGAAAAAAAUUAAUAAGGAGAAUUCCCAUGAAUGUUAAUUUUAUUGAUAAACUUGGCAAUUUUAAGAAAUGUUUUGACGCACGAAUAAUGCAAUUCAUCAACCCACAUAGAUAUGGAUAUAGGAAGCAGAGACCAGAUCGAUCUUGACAUAACGAAAACUUGUAUGUGUAUAUGUAUGUUACAGACCAGAUCGAUCUGUAGCAUAGACUUCUCCUAUAUGUAGGUUAUAUUCAAAUUACAAAAUGAACACAUGUUAAGGAUCUACAACUUCUUCUUUAAUCUAAUAAGCUCCCUCAACUUUAUUCCAAAACAAAAAAGAAUCAAAUUUUUGUUGGAAAUAUUUAUGAAUGAAGAAGCAAAAAGCGCUUGUAUCAAGGAUCUAAUUAAAGAACUGCCAGAGGCAUAGAUCUAUCAAAGCUCCCUCGCAUGACUCUUGGUCUCGGUGGCUUCUUCUUCUUCAUUCCGAAUUUUCCCUCCAUCUGAUCUCUUCCAACCUUUCCAUUUCCAAAUUGAAUUGAAACUUGCCUCAUAUUCGUUUGUUGAAUCCCAUCUUUUGUUGCACCACCAUGCAUCAAAAUCCUUGAAAUCCCAGCAUAAUGCAAGGACUCAGCUAUUUGCAAUGGGGUCACGUUCUUACUUGUCCUUGCCUCAACAUCAGCUCCCUUCUUCACAAGCAAUUCAGUCACAUCUGUGUGGCCAGAUUCCACCGCACAAUGCAAAGCUGUGUACCCAUCUUCAUCUUUAGCAUCAACAUCAAUCCCUUUAUCAAUCAGAAUCCUCACAACCUCAAUCUUUCCCUUAAACGAAGCCCUAUGCAAAGCAGUCCAUCCAUGUAGGUCUUUCCCAUUGAUCGCGGCGCCUGCUUCGAUCAACCUCUGCAUUGUCCUCACUUCCCCUUUCCUAGCGGCAAUACACAGGCUGUCACCAAGCUUCAACGCGUCAAAGAGACGGGAGUGACCGCACUCAGCAGCAACAUCAUAAGCGGUCUUUCCGCUCUUGUUUCUAAUAUAUUUAUUAGCACCCUUCUGCAAUAACAGCUUCACCAUUUGCUCAUAUCCCAAGCUUGCGGCGAUAUGCAAAGGCGUGUCACCGUCUCUAGCGUUGCGUAUAUCAGGCCUUGCUCCGUUUGCUAACAGAAGUCUCGCGCAAUCUCUUCUUCUGUCUUCAACCGCGAGAUGCAGAGCUGUGUUACCAUCUUUUGUUAAAGCAUUGACAUUAGCACCUUUGAUUAAGAGAAGCUUUAGUACUUCCAAAUGGCCGCCUCGUAAGGCCAAGUGUAUGGGCCCCCAUGUUGAUGUUCCUGAUCUUUCUGUGCUGGCUUUCCUCGCCAACAAGAGCUCAACAAUAAGUGCUUCCCCUGCAGCCGCCGCGGCUUCAAGUGGAGUACUGCAGCCACACCUGCCUUGAGACUCAACAUCCGGCCCAAACUCAAGCAAAAGUUGAACAAUAUCAGGCCUCCUUUGAGCUAUAGCAAUAUGAAGCAACGUUUGUCCCUGCGCAUCGGCAGAAUCAGCCGGGUUCCAAGCCGGGUCACUCCGCUCAAGAACCUCUCUUAAAUCAUCCAUUUCACCAUCCUUAACAAGCAGAACCAAAACAGGAGACCCAACGAACAUGAUCUUGAUUCCGCUGUCGAUGAACACUUGCUUCUUCCUCGUUGUGAACCAGUCACUGGGGACGGAAUCAAGCGUCGACGUUGCAUCUUUAAUUCCAGCUCCAGGAACAACAACGCUGUGCAAGAGGAAGGAAUCAUCACAGUGAGGGAAAGAAUCAGGAAGAACCGAUCCUGGAGGGAGAUGAUACGCAAUCUCUACGCUUAGUGUUGCGAGUGGUGAUAUGAUUCCUGAUUGCGGCUUCACAGUAUAACGAGCCUUGUUUGUAGGCUGAAUCCUGAAAGCAACAGGCAUCGUGUGCAUGACAUUGCGGAGAGUCAGCUCCCCGGAACAUUUCUGCCCUGGUUCAAUUCUGAUAGCUACAAGGUUCGACGGCUCCAAGCUUACAAGCCUAUCCAUUGAUUAAUUUUCUCUCCGUUUCCCAAGGACUGCUGAAAGGGGUUCUUUGAACUUUUUGAUUCAGGCUUAUUUUCUUCACUUUUGGUGGCAUGGGGAGGAAUUAGAGGAGUAACUGUAAGAGCUGCAAGUGUUGGUGUAAUCAACUGUAAUAUAAGGAGAAGAGAGGGCCGGCUCUAAUGGGAGACUGCCACGUGGUGGUGUUAAAAACAAUGAGACUUGUUCUGUUCGGCGUCCGGAGUGUAUAUACAGUUGUGUUAGUGGUGAAAGUUAAAGAAAUCCUGAAGUUAUUUUCGGAGUGGCUUCUGCAAAGUCACUUUCAGGAUUGUAUUGUAUCAUUAAAAAACAAAGCCAGUUUUUGUUGUUCUAGUAAAAGGCGAAUCAUUGGACAAACUCGUAAGAAUAUGUUGCCAAAUGUAUAAAAUAUGAAAUUCAAACAAUGAUUACAAUGUGAAAUUGGACAAUGGACAUGGCCUGUGUGAAUUGUUUUGUGGGCUUACUAAUUAAAUUAAUUCACUAAAAAUAAUGUCACUUUUGUGUCUGUGAAGAAGCCGAAAUGGCACAGUCAUUUACGUGGCCAACUACGGUGACUACUUCGUCAGUAGCUGCUCGAGCACUUGGUCAGCACAAGUUGCUUUCUUUCUUGGCGGGAUUAGUUUUUCUUCAUUGCUUUAAGUGGUGCAUUUCUGCAGUUUCAUUUUGCUUUGCUUAUGCCAUUGGAUUUGUGCCCCAUAAAUAAAUAUAUAAUUAAGCGGAAAAGUAUCAAAUUUUGAAAAAGCUUAGGUUUUGUGUGUGUGUGUGUGUGUGUGUGUGUGUGUGUUUUAAGCCGAAUUACUCGGCUAAAAAUUAAUCCGAUUAUUAUUGUUUUGGUGCUUAAGAUGUGACUCUAACCUAAAGCUCAUUUGAACUCUCUUGAUGCUCAUAUGGUAUUUUUUGUGUUGUGUCGUGCUGGCCCUUACACAUCUCGGCUCAUAUUUUUCAUGUUACUAAGUUCUAAUAUGUACAAAAGAAAUAGAGCAAUGUCCGGUGGUAGAUCCAAACACUCAAUUUGGGGUGCUUAUUUUUCAGUCUCAAAUUCGAUUAUUUUCUUUUAAAAUAUUAAAAUAAUAGUAAUAAAAUACUUAUUUUAAAUACUGAGCUCAUUACAACCACAUAUGUAAAAGUAUCAUUUAUAUUUUUUUUCUAAAUAAUCUUCACAAAAUAUUUUAAAAAAUAAAAUUAUGUGACUAUGGGGAUUUGAACCAAGUCUCUCAAACUACUAAAUAACACUUUUACCACUAAAUUACAAAUCUUUUAACAUAUUAAAAGUGCAUCCAAAUUAUUAUUAUUAUUUAAUUAUUUCAUAAGAGAUUUGGGGCACAUUUAAAAGAAAAAAAAUUAAUGGUGCAUAAAGGACUAAAGCCUCUCUUGAGUCCUUGACCUUAACUAGGUCCACCCAUGGUAAUGUCAGUGAUACCCAACUUGAAAAAUAUACAAGAAACUUGGAAAUUUAAAUUAAUGAAUAAAUAAAUAAAUAAAAGGAAACUUAGUGAUUGUAGCUGUUGUAUUGUAUUGUGGAUCAAAGAAUUACAAGUUCUUGGUUUCUCGGUAUUGGCUAAUUUUGAAGUUAAAUGAAGUUCGAAAAUAUUUACAAGCAAUAAAAUUAUCAACUGAAUGAGACAAGGAAAGAGUAUAAAGACCUUAGCAAAUUAGCAAUCCUUCUUUAAUUUAGUAACAGUGACGCUUAUAAAGUUAGAAGACGUAUCAAAUCUAAUUUAGAUUUUGCCCCAUAAAACUAACUUAACUUAUAGUGCGUCUUUGUUUAAUUAGUAAAUAUUCCACAAAAACUGAUCAGCACUUUAUAGGAAAUUCCAAACACGUUUAUAUUCACAAGGAAUAUGUCAAGGAGAAAUGAGAAUAAAAAAAUGUAAAAACUAAUAAAGCUUCAUUAAUUAGAAUUUAUAACCAUAUGUGCUCCUAUACUACUUUUAUUAUUAAGAAUUUGAAGUAGAAGGUAGUUGAUUAUCAUGAAAUUACAAAAUUGUAAACGGAUUUGUUCUUUUGGAAAAAGAAAAAAAAAAAAAAAGGAAGGAUAGUUGAUUACUUGAUUAGUGAGAAAUCAUACGUAUAAAGGACAAAUUGAAAAAUGGGACCUGAAUUGCAACAAAGCUUCAUUGGAAUUAACUGCCGAUAAAAUUAAAUUAGUAUCACCCUACCCUUUCAUCUUAAUAUAUUCGAAAUUUCACCGAUCAAAGUUUCUAGCUUCGAUUUUUACGAUCUCUCAUCCUAAUAACACCAAAAGCAUAUUCAUUCGUUUGUAAGAUUAUGUAACAAAAUAUAGUAAAUAGCCUAUAAUUUUUUUGUUUUACUACUAACCUGUUAUCAUUCUUUUCUAAUAAUACAUGUUAAAAUAUUCACAGAAAAAAUUUAUCCCUAUUACACCCAACCACCUUUUUUUGUGUUUUUUUUGUUCAAAUUUUAGCAUUAAAGGGACAAUAAUGUCCUAUGAAAUAUGCAGAAAGACAGUUAAUAAUAUUCAAAAAUGUAAGUGGAGGUAUCUUACGCCACACACACAAAUUACACGACUCUCAUUAAUGUGUUGUUGUUGUUAUGUGUGGCGUAAGUUACAGUUGAAUGUCAUAUUCAAAAAAGUAAGUGGAGGUAUCAAUCUCCCUAAAUAAAUAAUUUAUGGAAGGUUGUUAGCUGUUGUACUUUUAGUUAAUUUUAAAAUCACAAUAAUAUGGUUAAUGUUAAGUUACAUGCAUGUAACUUAGGAGGAUCCCAAUAAUAUACCAUAUUUUAUUAAUAUGUACAGUAUUUAUAAUAUUUAAAAAUUAAGGAAUUAAUGUACGCAUGUAAAAGCUGCAUUGGAGCCAGUUGGAAAUCUUACUGUCUUGAUAUAUGCAACGAUUGUAGCAGCUAAAAAGGCAUGAUAUUUACUUAAUAUUAUUUCAAACAAUAAUUAUUUAUUUAAAGCAAAUAAUAAUAAUGAGGGCAGAAGGACUAUUCUAGGAUCAAUAUGGUGACAGUAUAAAUAAAUAAUAUUAAUUAUUAAUGCAUUGAUGAGUAUUGUUAAAAUGACAUAAUAGGUUUGUUUCAUUGAAUUGAACCUUUUCUCUUAAAAUAGCUAUAAUUUGUUCUCUCUCUCUCUGUGUUUUUGUUUUUGUUUUUCACUUUAGUUUUACUUCUCUUAAAAAACCAAAAAAAAAAAAACAAAAUUAAUGGAAACUGAUGAUGGGAAGACGGACAAUUUUCUAUAUUGUUAAAUAGAAAUGGGCACAAAUGUGAGUUUUUUGGGGCAAAAAAAUAUAGUCAAUGUACGUAGCGUUUGUCUAUUUGAAAACCCGUCAAUAUAAAAACAGGACGUAAAGCUUUCAGACAAAGUACUCUUAUGGCCGUACUUUCCAUAAACCAAAUCAAAAGAAGGAAAAUAUUUGUGUCUGGCUUCGAUGCGACUGUUAACAUUCACAAAUAAACACCUUUGCAUGGUCAGAAAAAUUAACAAGAAAUUAGAAGGCGAUGUUGCGUUCUACUUAGUUCUCUAGGAUUUGUGUCAUUUGUUUAUGCUACGGUUCGUUCCCAUUUGCAUUGCGUGGAAUAAUUGGCCGAAUAUUAUUAAUCUCAAUCUUAAUCUCUCAACUCUUGUCCCUUUAAUUUUUGUUUGUAUCUUUUUCUUUUUUUUUUUAAAUAUCACAUACAAUGCUUUUAAUAAAUAACUUCAUAGAAAUAUUUAAUAAAAUCCAACAUAUAUAAGUUCAAGAAACUCAAAAAAUAAAAGAAAAUAAACUCACGUUGUCACUGGAGAGACUCAAACAUGCUACCUUAAAAUUAAGUAGAGGGUGCAACUACUUGCACUUUAAAAAAAGAAAAGAAAAAAAAAGGGGCUUUGAACGCUCGUGAUAAUUUGCAAGUUAUGGAGGAUAAUCAUUGUACAAUGGGGAGAACUCUUAUGGAACAAUAUUCAAACUGAUAUUGAAAGCAUAUAAGAAUUUGGCUUGGGUGUUUUGGUGCCAUGAAUGAGUGCAGAAACAAAGAGGAAGCUUUGUCCCUUUAAUUUGAUCUGCUGUAUUAUAAUUAUUGAGAUUAAUCAAAUAAAUAACCGAAACAUGGUUACAGUUUUAUAGUGUAUUGCAAGUCUUUGGAGAUACUAUGUACCUCAAAAAAAAAUAUCGUAUAAAAGAGUGUUUUGUUUCACAGGGGUUCAAUGAGAUUUGAGAUGGCUGUAAUGAAAGUGAUGUAAAUUUUUUGGACUCUAAUGAGGUGUUUUUAGAUGGAGGGGGAUUUACAAGUAUUUUAUAGGGGUGAUAAAUGACUGUAUACCCACCAAAAAGGCCCAUUGUUCGAGUCCAUGAGCAUUACAGUUUUUUUUUUUUUUUUUUUUGAAAUUCAGAACAUGCAGUUUGUUUGAUUCAACUUCCGAAUUACAAAAUUAGAAUAAGAAAAAAAAAUGUGGAUGUUUUUUCUUUAAUUUACAUAAUAAUACAUGGUGUGGACGAUGUCUAUUGAGGGAUAAAAGAGGAAUGGGGGCACUGUGAAGUUUGUGUUUUUGUUUUUUUUAAAUUAUCAUAUUCAUACUGUCUAUAAAAAUAUGCAAGUUAAAAAAUUACUCAUGAUAUUGUUGUUUUUGUUUCAUAUAAUACUACUUAUGCACAUCGCCUCAUGCAAACAUUUCUUAGUUAUGCUUAAAAAAAUGAGAUUCUCACCAUGGGUCACUGUAAAAAUCCACAGAAGCCGUGGAUCACAGUAGGAAGCCCACUUGAACAGAAGAAGCUACCGAAAGCUUCGACAUUGUAUUUAUGAAAUGCUUAGUAAAUUUUGUUUUAUUUUGAAUUUAUAUUAUAAAUGGUGUGUUGCUAAAUUAAAAAAUAAAAAAGAAAUGCAAUGUGUCAAAAUACAAGAAUCUUACGGACAUUUUUGUCACAAUAUAUGUAAAUAAUUCAUAUCUUAUUCAUAUCCUAUGUAAGCUUCACUUGUUUAACACAAUGGUGGUUGAAUCUUCAAAAAUUCAUAAUCUUAAACAACCAAAUUUGGAAUUAAUUAAGCAAAUUGCCUCUAUAAAUUGAUUACAACAACCAACGACGUGUGAAGCCACAUGUCAAUUUCCCUAGACAGCCCAAAUAUUGAGGCGCUGUGAGGGAGCAAGGUGCAAUCGGAUGGGGGAAAGAGAGAGAGCCAAUGGUGAGAAUGGAUCGUGGUGAGGGAGAACCAACUGGUGGUGAGAUUUGUGGCUUCAAUGAGGUGAGUUUCGUGGCGCUGUGAGUGAAGUGAGAUUUGGCAUGAGUGUGAGGGAGAAUGCGUGUGUUGUGUGAGUGAGGUAAGCUGUGUCUGUUGUGUGCAUGGAGACUCUCACCACAAUUAGAAUUUAUAGUUAGCACAGAACGAAACACAAUAUUCUACGCUAACUGUGGAGUUAACCAUGGUGAGAAUAUCAUUAUUGUUUAUUAUAACACUUUUUUUUUUAAUUUGUUUUGACAAUAAAAUAAAGAACCUUGUAAGAAAACCUCAAUAACUCAAUUAAAAAACCAACUCAACCGAUGAUAGGUAAAUUGAGAAAUUUUCAACUAAAAAUUAUUAAGAUUGGUUUUAACUUCAAAUCAUAGUCACAUAGUUUUGUCCUUAUAAAGAUCAAAAUAAUGAAUUCUAACUCCGAAGUUUUUAGAUUUAUGUGACGAACUGACGAUAGUAUAUUGAAAUCGAUUGAAAUGAAAAAUUUAAUUAAAUGCAAUUCAAGAUGUAGUAUCAAAUUCAAACGAUUCGGAUUGUUUUAAAAAUUUCAAUGCUUUAAUCUAAAUCGAUUAAUCAAUUACACUCUUGCAAUUAUAUACCGUUAAAACUAAAAUAUGUAAAAUUUAGGGUGCAUUUAUUACCAUUUUCAAUUUGUUGUUUUUCGUUUUAUGAAAAGGAAAAUACAGAAAACUUGUUUGGUGAGCUCAUAUUGGUGGAAAACUGUACAGUGAUUAAAAACAAAAAAAAAUUCAUUUUUCAAUGUUUACAAAGGAAACAAGAAAACGCUAUUACACUGGGUUCUCUAUUUUAUUUCACUUUUACUCUCUGCCAAGGCCCUACCAUCUUAACUUUUAUAACAUGGUGUAAUAAAUUACGUGGGCCCAUUUAAUAAAGAAAUAAUCUAAUAAAUAAAUUAUUAUAACAAAUAUUUAAAAAUAAUAGCAUUCCAUACCUUACAGCUUAAUUACUUAAUAUAUUACCCAAAUUAUUUUAAAUAAAAAGUGAUAUCAUAUAAUUAUUAUACUAAAUUAUUACAUUGUUCGACCAAUAUGCAGUUAUUUAAAAAUUACUACAAACUUUCUUACAUAUAUUAAUGAAAAUAUAUCAAUAAUAAAGUUACAUCUUGACAGUUAAUAUAAAUAAAUAUAUGAUAAUUAUGAAAUAAUUAAAGAUUUUCUCAAUUAAUAUUAUCUUAUAACUACAAUUUAUUUACAUAAUUAAAAGUUUUUAAGAAAUUAUUAAAAUAUCUUCAAACCUAUAUGCAUUUAUAAUAAUAUAUAAUACAUCAUAAUAUAAUAACUAAAUAGAUAAAUUAUUUAUUAAUAUAAAAUAUAUGUUUAUAUUCAUUAUAUAAUAUUAUUCUUUCAUAGUAGUUUCAUUAAAUAAUUCUCUACUCUCUCUCUUUUUAUCUUUAUUUUUUCGGACAGACAAGUAACCAAACACCGCUUCACCUUUUUUUUAUUUUCAAAUACUAUUCUUAAAAUAAACUACCAAACAUAUUUUUAUUUUUAACAAAAACUAAUCAUUUUUAUUUUAUAAAACAAAUUGAAAAGUACUAUUUAAAAUAUAAUACCAAACUUACCCUUAAUAAUUUUAUAUUUGUCAAAAAGAUGAGAAGCUAAGUGGCACUAUCGUUUACCUAUUCAAACUAAACGUGGAGUCACAAUAUUGAAGACACUUUGGUGGCCACAACACUCUUUUCUUUAGUACGGAACAAUCUGGCUUACAUGACACUACAUAAAAAUAAAUAAUAAAAAAUCACCGAUUCCAACUGCCCCGGACAAAAAACAGGCCACACGUAAAAAGGCUUCUAUUUUUAUUUUUAUUUCUCCCCAUUUUAAAGAUGACGUCAUGGUGAUUAUGAAACCAGAAAAUAACAAAUUUUAGUUGUCUGAUUUUGUAGUUAUCCAGCGAAAACUAAAAAAACAGUGAACGCAGCAGCAGAUCUCCGUGUUUGUCGUCGUUCGAUGAGAGAUUCCGAUUCGUGAGCAUCGCAAGUGUUGAAAUGGAAUCAGACGAAAUGAGGAGUUAGCCUCUUAUUAUAUAAUAAUAAUAAUGAUAAUAAUAAUAAUAACUAAUCUCUUUUAUCAUAUAAUUGAUAAUGGAAAUUCACAUUGACAAAAGGCAAAUUACACACUGACUGGGCAGAAUAAAAAACAGUCUCUCUCAAAAGCAAUAAUUUAAACACUAACACCACCUUAAGGAGACACCCCAAAAAUAAAGCAGCAAGCUCUUACUGUGACCACACACACACACACACACCAAACUUUUAUUAUAGAAUAAAUCUAAGAUGAUGGAUGAUGGAUGCGUCACAUAAAAGUUAAUUAAUUUAAUCGCUGUCACUGCUGCUGCUGCUCUCGUGUCCGUCCUCGUGCUUCUUCUUCUUCUCCUUCUUUUUCUUCUUCUCUUCACCGUGGGCGGCGCCCUCGCCGCCGCCGACACCGGGGAUCUUCUGCUUGAUCUUGUCCACCAAGCCCUCCUUGUGUUCGCCCUCCUUGUGUUCCCCGCCGUGAUGCUGCUGCUGAUGGUGAACAUCAGUAGUGCCGACACCGGGGAUCUGCUGCUUGAUCUUGUCCACCAAGCCCUCCUUGUGUUCGCCGCCGUGAUACUGCUGCUGAUGGUGGACAUCAGUAGUGUGGUGGUCCCCACUAUGGUGCUCUCCCUUGUGCUUGUCCUCCUCCUUUUGCCCUCCUCCCAUGUGAAGGGCUUCUCCGAUCUUGUGAAUAACUCCUGACAUUUUCCCUUAAAAUGACUCUGUUCCUCUUCUUUUCUUUUCAAUGAAAAAUAGUUGUUUGCGAUCUUCUUCUGGUUGUUGUUGUUCUUGUUGGGUGAUCUUGGCUUGGUAUUUAUAGGCUCCAAAAGGAGGGACUAGAAUUAGGAUUAGAUUAUAGAUUAUUUUAAUACAUUUUAUGGCAAAUUCUGAUUUGGAAAGAUAAGAUUAUCCUUUUGGUUUUCCUUAUUUACCCUUUUGCACCCAUUACGUGUACGCGUCUUCGUGGGCUUUUUGGGUAUUUCAAUUAUAUCGCCAAUGCUAAAUCGACACGUUGCAUAUCAGCCGCGGUACUGCCGUAUGUAGUUGUCCAGAAAUCGAGUCGAUUCUCGAUCGUACAAUAAUUAAAUAAUAUUUCAUACGAAAUGAGUUUAGAUAUAUUUUGAAAAUUUAUUUUUAAUUUAAUUAUACGUGUUAUAUAUUUGUUAAUCGAAUAGAGGUCCCACGUAACAGAGUGUUUCUCUAAUCUUUCAUUGCUUUUAAUUAAUUUUACCCAAAUAAAAAAAAAAAGGAAAAUUUAGAGAGAGAGAGAGAGAUAGCGAAUUAGAAGUUGAUUGUAAUAUCGACACCUGUCAGACAAUCAAAUAUCGUUAGUUAAAAAUCAGUUGUCCAUAGUCAUGGUCAUAGAUGGCGAAAUUGAUACUUAUUUUAAAAAACAAAACAAAACAAAACGAAACGAAACUAAACUAACAGAUGUUGAAAUGCAGUUCCGUGUUAACAGUCUGUGAUGAAUCUUUAUCUUUGAGUAUACCAUUCAAGAAAUUAUCAUUCAAAAAUUUAUUUAAAGCAGCAGCAAAUCACCUUCUAAUUCCUGAAUCAAAUUAAUUCGAUUUUUUUCGAGUCGAUCAAUUCAUUAGAGAAUUAACGGGCUAAGUUAAAGUUUUGUUAGUUAUUUUUUUUUAUAUUCCUUUAGAUGAUAUGAUUGUCAUUGUCUUUCUUUCUCUGGGCAACAAUAAAUACAAGAUGUGCAAAAGCGUAGUGGAACAUAAUUCGAUUAUGGGUAAAGGGAUCAGUCCGCAUAAUGAGGAUAAAGUUUUUCUCUUUAAAAAAAUUUAACCCAAAGAAAAGGUCGUAGUUUGUAAUAGCCGACACGCAGAUAGAUCACAAAGCAUGGCGGUCCUGAUGGCAAUAACUAACUGAUAUCUUCUGCGAUGAGAGGAGAUCACGUGGUUCUGACACGUAUCGCCCCAUCAACUGAUGUUGUGGCUGCAAUCGCGGCCCAGUCUUUAGAGAGAAGAAAGAUCUGUUAUAACGGGACCUACUUUAGCAUCUAUUUACGACAAAGCCCCUAUUUACUCUACUUAGUAGUAAUAAUAGCAAGUGUCGGGCUUGGAUUCCGUGUUGCUUUAAAUAAAUAUCCGCGUAAAAAGAAAAUGCUUCUUUAAUCCCUUCCUUGUAAUUUUUCGACACGUGGAUGGUUGAAAUUAGCGUGCCGACAUCUUAGGAAUUUUAUCUUGGAGACGGGAACACUGCAGUAGGCAAUGCCAUUUUCUUCGGAUGGUGUGUGGUGACAACGCCUUGGAUUUUGACGUGCAAAGAAUUUAAAUUGAAAAAGAAAAAAAGAAAUUACCAGAAUAAGCAUAGAAGAGAUAUUUUUCUUUUUGUCCUUUUUGGAAUGGAAAAAGAGAUCAAGAGAUUGUUCCAGUAAGUAUUACACAUGUCACAGGCUUAUUCAUGCCCCAUUAUGGCAACUUUUAUGCCUCGCGGUGCCCUCGGUUCCAGCAUAAUAGCUAAGACUUCAAUUUUUCUAACAUAUUUUUGUUACAAAUAUGAACGGAGUAAAUGUAUAACUUUAAUCCUUUGAAUAAAGAAAUGGCGGUUCUCCUGCUCGUUAAUCUCACUUGAAUCCCACCCAGGCAAAAUUUCUUUAUUUUAUUUAACAACAAUUUAAAGAAAGAAACUUUUGCCAGGUUGAAUUUCAAGUGAGAUUCAUUCGUGGGAGAAGUGCCAUUUCUUUAUUCAAAAGAUUAUGGUAAUUACAACUUUCAAUUUCGACAUAAAUUAAAAUUAUAGGCUAUACAAUAAAAUUGCCCUAAAUUAGUCCUAAUCAAUUCAGAUUAUAAAUUUAGGUAUAUUUAUUAUUUUAAUAUAUUAAUGUUCUAUAUAUAUAUAUAUAUAUAUAUAUAUAUGUGUGUGUGUGUGUGUAUNNNNNNNNNNNNNNNNNNNNNNNNNNNNNNNNNNNNNNNNNNNNNNNNNNNNNNNNNNNNNNNNNNNNNNNNNNNNNNNNNNNNNNNNNNNNNNNNNNNNNNNNNNNNACAGCAGAAAAUAUUUGCUAUGGAUAAGGAGACAUGGUCCCACGUCCCACCGUCCCAAUGCAUAUUUUGUAUGUUUCCAUCUUUUCUGAAAUUUUAAUAAAUAAAGUUUUUUGACCACUUGGCCAAAGAACCUUACCCUUACACAACUUUGUGGUUGGAGUCCUGUGAUACAUGUAAGAACUUAUUUUUUUUCUUAAUUAUAAUAUUUUAGAAUAUAAUUAAGUGAAGUAGGUUUUUUUUUUAAAUAUGAGUAAAAUAGAUAUUUUUUAAAUAUUAAAGAGAGUAAAAUUUGAAUAAUAAUAUAUUAAAAUUAAUACAAACUAAUUUUAAUAAUUAUUUAAUUAUAAAUAUCAAUUAUAACAUCAUAUAAUAUCAAUUAUAAUAUCGUACAUCUCAAUUAAUUCAAUAAUAAUAAUAAUAAAUGUUUUUUGGGAUAAGUAAACAGUCGCAUGGCGACAAUAGUGGAUCUGGAUUAGAGUGAAGUGGUCCCAAGAGGCUGAGGCUGUGGCUGUGGAGUUCUAAAAGUCAAAAGCUCCACGCACUUUGUUUCAGUACCAUACACACUGAAAAAAUUUGCAUUUGCAAUGACGAAAACUUUUCACGAAAUCAAAACACCUCUAAACUAUUUUGUUAUCGAUAUUUAAUGGAGGGGUUUCCUACCUUUUUAACACUCGAUUCACGCCUUGACGCAUCUCACAGAAAACCUCAUGAUCCCAUUAAUCUUGCGUAACAUAUCUCAAAGCCAAUGCAAGUGAUCUUGUUGCCUACUUCCCUUUGACGAUUCAAAAUUGUUGAAAAUAAUUCUUUUUUUUUUUAACCUCAAGGAAGUGACAAAAUAUAAAAGAAUAUUUUCUACACAUUAAACAUCUAGAUUUUUUUUUCUUUUCUUUUUAGAGUACUUGCACAAACCGUUUCCAAGAGAGACCUUUUUUUUUUUUUUUUUUUUCCGGGCUUGGUUACUAAUUUGGUGUGAAUACUCUAUGGUGAAAAAGGAAUCACAAAGCUGUAAUCAAUUUUUUUGCAUCAUUUAGUUGUAACUUGAACAUUGGGAGGUUUAUAAAGAAUUAAAUUAAUUAUAAUGCCUCUACUAGGAAAAGUUCAGAGUAGCCCUUCACAACUUUUUAAAGGCUUAAUAAUUUUCGCUUUCUUCCUCUCAUAACAUAACAAAAAAUUAAGAGCUUUACUCGUACACGUCCUAUGGCUAUAUAGUAUUGGGUUCUCUACUUCAAUCGGCUAUCUCAAACCGAAGGUUAUUUGGACACACCAGCAGUCACGUUUGGAAACUCUCAAAUGCUUGGAUUGUAAUUCUUGUGGAUGAGAUCAUCUAAAUCUUGGGCCCAAGCCGGACAAUGGGUGGACAAAGAACCCUAAAAUACAGUAAAGCUUCUAACACCCCACUAAAACUCUUAAGAAAUCCUACCUUUUAUUUUUAUAUCUCUUUCUUUUAGAAAUUAUAGAGAAGACAUAGCAUUUUAAUUAUUUUCCCUGCCAUUGAAAAUAAAUUCUGUAAACAUAUUUUUUCAUAAUAAAAUUAUUGUUAUUAGAUAAUUUAUUUCUUCAUUGUUUCAAAAUUAUUAUAAUUUUAUCAACAAAAUUAGUUAUGUCAUAUAUUAGGAUUAAAAUUAAUUAGGAUCCAUAACUUGUAAAGACAUUUUAGUUUAAUUGAAUUCAUAUUUGUCAUUUUAUGUAAUUUUCAAUAAAAAUACGACUAUGAGUGCAAAAGUGGGAUGACAUAAUAUUAAAAGAGUGUGAAAUAAUCGGUAAUUGAAAUGGAUUGAAAUCAUAAUAGAGUAUGAAAAUCAGAAUAAAUUGUUUACUUUAGUUGUAGAAAUCAAAAUUAAAAUAAACCAUAUUAUCAUUGAUGUAUAUAUGUUUUCUUGUAAUCGAAAUGAAUUCUUAUAAGUUACUAUAAGACCCUUAUGGUGUGUUUACUAAUCAGAAAUCAGAAUGGAGUGGAAUUUGAAUAUAGAAUGGUAGGGGUAUUCGCGGAUCGGAUUUUACGGAUUGGACAUUAAUUCAUAUCCGAUCCAUAAUUUUACGGAUUAUAAAUUCUCAACACAAUCCAAAUCCAAUCUAUAUGUUUGCAGAUCGGAUGCGGAUUUGACUCAAUUCAUAUCCAAUCCACUAUUUGACGGAUUGAUUUUGGAAUUAAAAAUUUUUAAUUUUGUCCAAUCUAUGAGGUAAUUAAAUUUAAAAAUCUAAUAUAAAAAUAAUUUAUUAAAUAAAAAAUUAACGUAAAAAUAAUUUUACUACCAAUUAAAUUCAAAAUUGAACAAGAUUUAAAUAAAUUAAUUAUUUAAAUAAAACUAGAAUAAUUUAUUUAAAAUUUUUAAAUAUAACAUAUCGAAAAAAAAUUCAUUUGUUUAGAUUAAUAUAUGAAAAUUAACUAAAAUUAUGAAUUUAAAUGUUGAAAUUUGAGAGCUUGGAUGUAACAGGAAGAAAUUAAGAAACUUGAAGAACUUGAAAAGAAAGUAACAAAUUAAGCUUAACUACCUCUAAUGGUGAAGUGAAACAGUGAUGGUUUGUGCGUGCAAUGGGGUACAAAUUUGGCAUUAUAUGCCAAAAUAUUUUGUUUGGCUUUAGAAUUUUUAAUGUUUAGGAAGCUAUAUUUGUUUAUUUAAUUACUCAAAUAUUUAAUUAUUUUUUAUUUUAUGUUAUUAUUGAAUAAGAUAUAAUAUUGUGUUAAUUUAGCUAUACUUUAAUUAAUUAAUUAAUUUAUUAGUAAGUAGCAUUGCUACAUUUAUAAGUUUUAUUUUUUAUUAAAUAAAUACUUUUUUUUUUCAGAUUCACGAAUUUUUACGGAUUUACAGAAAUAAAUCCAUAUCUAAUCCAUCGACUGUGGUUUUUUAAAUUUUCAUUCCAAUCCGAUCUACCAAUCCACAAAUUAUAUUUUUACGGAUCGGACGAAUUGAGCGGAUCAAAUUGGGUUCUGAACACCCCUAGAGAAUGAGAAUCAAAAUAAAUUAUUUACUUUAGUUGUGUGAAUCGGAAUUGGAAUAAAUUGUACUGUCAUUGAUGUGUUUACUUUAUCUUGGAAUCAGAAUGAAUAAUUUCAAAUUACUAAACUGACCUUAAUUUUUUAUUGUAAUAAUAAUAGUAGUAGUAGUAGUAAUAGUAGUAAUUUUCUAUUAUUAUUAUUAUUUUCUCUCUCUUUUGUUUUUAUUUUUUUAUUUUUCUCUUCUUCUUCUCUUCCUCUUUUUUUAUUUUUCUCUAAUUCAUCGAUACUUCUUCUUCUUCUUUUUUCUUUCGUUUUUAUUUUUAAUUUUUCCCUUCUUUAUCGUUCCUUCUUCUCCGUCCAUUCUCUAUCUUCAAACUCUUUUUACUUUUUCUCUUAUUCUUCAUUACUUCUUCUCCCUUUUUUUUUUUUUUCUCUUCUUUAUUAAUUCUUCUUCUUCUGCGUCUAUUCUUCAUCUUCAAAUUAUCAAGUGAAAAAUACCCACGGUGCCUUACAAGAAGAAUUGGUUUUGUUUGCUUCAAUUAUUUUUUGUAUUUUGUACUUUUGAUUGUUUCAAAAGAGGAUAAACUUGUAAUAAUGCAAUUUAAGUAGGGAUGUUUUAGACAAUUUUGGGUAUGAGAGUCUAAUUCCCAACCCCCCACUCCCUCGUAGCAGACUCCCAUUCUUCAUUCCUAACUUGGUGUUGGACCUACUAAAAUAAAUCCCAUUCCCCUUCUUAUUUCAAGAAGCAAACACGAUUUUGAUUUCAAUUCCCCAAUCCGAAAGUAAACGCACAAAAAUUGUACCCAUAUGAGAUUGCUUAUCCUCGAGUUUUUAGAUUGAAAAAAAAAAAGGAAAAAAGAAUGGCCCCAUUAGGAAGGGAUUUUAAGUGUUAGAUAAAGCCGGUGUUAACCAUUAGAAGGUCUCCGACCUUCAACUGUAAUAUAUUAAACCCAGAUAAAUUUACAUAUAAAUCACACAAACCAACAUGCCAAUCAAAUAAAUUACAUCAACUAACAACAAUUGACACAUUAAUUUUCAUAAUACAGAGGAUGCAGAAAAUUAAAAUGUUUUAUCUUUUCUCCUUAUUUGUGAAUUGGAAAAUGAAAAUGUUAAACAUACAGAAGAGUGAAACAGGAUGGAUAUAUAUACACACACACACACACACAGCUUUGGAGUUCAAUGUCAUCGUAUUGCUCCAAGAAGAUUGGCGCCAUCAAGCUUUGCACCUUCCAGAUGCUGUUUAAUCAUCACCAUAACACCUUCAGUAGACAUUAAUACAUAAUAGAAACACAAAAUUCACAUGAUCUGAAUGUCUGGUCUAUUUUACUUACCGUAUCUCGAAGAUUUACGUGCCGUAAAUAAGCUCUUUGAAGGUUGGCACCCUUUAAAUUGGCAUUACGUAGCUUUGCACCCUGCCGCAUAAAUGUUCGAAGUUUCAACAAAUUAAAGUCUCCUGAGAAAUACAUGUCACGAAAAAGUAGGGCUGAAACUUGCAUCUAAUGUACAAGAUUCAAUCAGGGGUGCUUGUCCCACAGUGAAAGUGUAUGGGGGAAAGUGCACUUUCACAAACCAAAGGGGCAAGAUGUGAUUAUCACACGAUUACAAAAGGACUGUAGUCAAGAGAGAGAACUGAACAUGCAGCUUGUAUUGAGGCCAUGAAAAUUGAUGAAAAGCAGUAACAAGCAACCAUUUUGAAAACACUUCAUAUGGUCGAAUCAAUAAAUCAAAGCUAAAAUGAUGUUGACGAUCGAUAGCUUUUAGGUGAUAAGAGUCUUGGCACUACAGUUAAAAUUAUUAUCUAGGAGUGCACACAUUAAUAAAAAAAAACACAACCAAUAAGCAUGCACUCUUAAUCAGCAUAUAAAUUAACAAGUUAGUUGCACCUUAUGUUGUUCCACAAACAGAUUGCUCGAACAAUUCACAAUCUUACCUU
This 78779-nucleotide long non-coding RNA is filed under the name Citrus sinensis (sweet orange). Its description in RNAcentral is "long non-coding RNA (CSIN_LNC002323)". The record is from RNAcentral. Lineage: Eukaryota; Viridiplantae; Streptophyta; Magnoliopsida; Sapindales; Rutaceae.